CUGGCUCGGUGCAACGUCGAGGCGGCCGACCAUAGCUCGUUUCGCUUCAGGCUCACCUUCUGGCCGUCGUCGCCGAGCCGGGUAGGGAUAUUCGUGGUCAAACACUUCUCUCUGGGAACUCCGUUGCUUGGUUUUAUUUAAGACGGAACCGGAACGAUAGCUGGGUCUCGUUUUCCCUAGUCCACCAGCAUGCUCGAUUUGAACGAGCCGUCCCUUUUGUCGAGUUUGAGCGUUACUUGCUGUUCUCUUUUGAGUAAAUAACUUGGAGUGCUGCCAUUUUCGUUCUCUAUUGAUGGCUGCUUGAAUAUUCUCAAGACUCCUCCCUUUCGUUUCAAGAACACAACCUUUAAAUUCCCCCCUAGAGUUUCUGCAUGAAAAUUGAUUAUUCACUGGUUUAAUAGCAUGCAAGCAAUGACUGGAGUUUAUCUAUUUAGAUAUGGUGGCAGACUUUUGACUAGUUAUUGUUGGAUUUUUGAUGUCUUAGUGCUGCUGUUUUUAGACUAAAGCUUCUCUGUUCCGUUUUAUAUUGUUUUAGUUUAUUUUCUUACUUAGUCAAUUAUGUUAUGCAGUUGUUGUUGUGUUAUUUAGGAAGUUAAGUACCUGUUCGGGUGCAGUUACAAGCAGAACGUGUGUGUGCAGUUAUUUUUUUUGGUUUAAGUCGUGUUUUGUACUUGACUUUUUUACUAAAGAACUGUAGAAGGCAGUUUUUAUGCUCUGUUUUCUCUGUUUCCUCUGUUUUUCUUCUUUCUUCCUCGAUAUCUAUAGUUCUGGCAUUUAUGCUUCUUUGCUGCUUUGAUCAGCAUCAACAGUGGUAUCAGAGCAUCGAAUGAUCUUGAGGGACUGUGAAGUGAAGCAAGUAUUGUAGUGCAAAGAGGUUAGAGGGUGAUGGAUACAAGUUCAAGUGGUUUUUCUACGAUGGCUUCUCCAGUAUUUACUGGAGAGAAUUAUCAAGCAUGGGCUGUUAAAAUGAAAGCAUUUCUGGAGGGUCAUGAUCUGUGGGAAGCUGUGGAGGAUGAUUAUGAAGUUGCUCCACUUCCAAAUAAUCCGACCAUGAAUCAAAUCAAGCUUCAUAAAGAGAGAACCACAAGGAAAGCCAAGGCAAAAUCUUGCAUGUAUGCUGCUGUCUCGCCUACCAUCUUCACUAGAAUUAUGAAGUGUGACUCUGCGAAGGUCAUAUGGGAUUUCUUGAGGGAAGAAUAUGAAGGAGAUGAGAAGAUAAGAGGUAUGAAGGUGCUGAAUCUCUUGAGAGAAUUUGAGAGACAGCAGAUGAAGGAAUCUGAGUCAAUGAAGGAAUACUCAGAUAGGCUAGUGGGAAUAGCUGAUAAAAUCAGAGUUUUGGGAACUGACUUGAGGGAUGAUAGGCUUGUUCAGAAGAUCCUAGUGUCUCUUCCAGAAAAAUUUGAAGCUACUAUAGCUUCUCUGGAAAACACAAGGGACUUGGCUGAUAUAAAACUUGCAGAGUUGCUGAAUGCUUUGCAGGCACAGGAGCAAAGAAGACUAAUGAGGAGAGAAAAUCAUGUUGAGGGGGCAUUGCAAGCCAAAGUAAAGCAAAAUGAUGGAGGCAAAGGGAAGAAAUGGAUUCAGUUUAAGGGAAAUGUUGCUGAUUCGAAAUUUUUACCAAAAGAAGGAAAUGCUGGUGGAUCUAGCAAAUGGAAAAAUAAUAAAAGGCCAUGUCAGUACUGUGGUGGAACCAACCAUCAGUCCUUUAGAUGCUGGAAAAGGCCAGAUGCGAGGUGCAGAAGAUGCCACAAGUUGGGUCAUAUGGAAGCUAUUUGCAAAGGGAAAGCUUAUCAGCAAACAGGAGAAGCACAAGUGGCAGUGAGUGAAGUUGAUGAAGAGCACUUAUUUUUUGCUUCAGCUGGUGAAUAUUCAGUCGAAAAUAGUACAUGGCUGAUAGAUAGUGGUUGUACUAAUCACAUGACUGGCAACUUAGAGCUAUUCAAGAGCAUAAACAAAACAGUAAAGUCCAAAGUCAGAAUUGGCAAUGGACAGCAUAUUGAAGUUCAGGGUAAAGGUGUAGUUGCUGUUAAAGGAAACCAGGGGGUGAAGUUAAUCAGGGAUGUCCUCUUUGUGCCAAACAUUGACCAGAAUCUGUUAAGUGUUGGUCAGUUAGUGGAGAAGGGCUAUAUAGUGAAGUUCGAAGGAAGGGAAUGUCUCAUUAAAGAUACUGACAGCAAUGAAGUCUUGAGAGUUCAAAUGAGGGAUAAAAGUUUUGUGUUCAAGCCAAAUGAGAUGCAGCAGAUGGCUUUGAAGUGUACAGAAGAGAAUAUAGAGCUGUGGCACAAAAGAUUGGGGCAUGUUCAUAGGAGGAGUAUGCUGGUUAUGCAGAGAAAUGGCCUGGUAGAUGAUUUACCAAACUUGAAGGAAGAGCUUCCACAAUGCAGAACCUGCCUUCUUGGAAAACAAACUAGAUUUCCCUUCAAAGGAGGAGUCUCGAAGACAUAUCAAAAGCUGGAAUUAGUUCACACUGAUGUGUGUGGACCUAUGUCUGAACCUUCUUUAAAUGGAAGCAGAUAUUUUAUUACUUUUACUGAUGAUCUGACUAGAAUGAGCUGGAUCUAUUUUCUGCAAGCUAAGACUGAAGUAGCUGAUGUAUUUAUGAAGUUUAAAGCAUUAGUUGAAAAUCAAAGUGGGAAGAGAAUCAAAGCUCUCAGGUCAGACAAUGGAUCUGAGUAUACAGCUAACAAAUUCAAACUGAUUUGUGAGCAAGCUGGAAUUGUACAGCAAUUUAUAGCCCCUUACUCACCUCAACAGAAUGGGGUUAGUGAGAGGAAAAAUAGAAGCAUUAUGGAGAUGGCCAGAUGUUUGAUGCAGGAAAAGAAUUUGCCUAAAAGUUUUUGGGCUGAGGCAGCCAACACUGCUGUAUUUCUUUUAAAUAGAUUACCUACAAAAGCUUUAGAGAAACUGACACCUCUCGAGGGCUGGCAAGACACUAAACCUUCUGUGAAAAAUUUGAAGGUUUUGAAGUUGUGUAUACUCAUAUUCCUGAUGUCAANNNNNNNNNNNNNNNNNNNNNNNNNNNNNNNNNNNNNNNNNNNNNNNNNNNNNNNNNNNNNNNNNNNNNNNNNNNNNNNNNNNNNNNNNNNNNNNNNNNNAGGCUGAGAUUGGAAUUUUUGUUGGAUAUAGCUCUCAAUCAAAGGCUUACAGAAUUUUCUAUCCAAAGACAAGGAAGAUUACUGUGAGCAGAGAUGUUAUGUUCUUAGAGGAAGAUGAAUGGAAUUGGUUAAAUGGAAGGAACACUGAAUUGAAGCACUUUGAAAGACAACCUGAAACUGAUGUGGAGACUAAUGAAAUUACAUGGGAAAUGGAAGAAAAUAUAGAUGAUGAACCUGUAAGAGGCACAAGGUCACUUGCUGAGAUCUAUGAAAGGAGUAAUGUGGCAGUGCUCGAACCAUCAAAUUUUGCUGAAGCCAAGGAAGAUCAGAAGUGGUUUGCAGCAAUGCAGGAGGAGAUGACAAUGAUUCAAAAAAAUCAGACUUGGGAAUUGGUAGAUAGGCCAUUAAAUAAGAAUGUAAUUGGGGUUAAGUGGGUCUUUAGGACAAAACUCAAUCCUGAUGGCUCUGUUAACAAGUAUAAAGCAAGGCUGGUUGUGAAAGGCUAUGCUCAGGUAUGGGGAGUAGACUAUUCUGAAACUUUUGCUCCAGUUGCAAGGCUAGACACAGUAAGACUCCUGUUAGCUGUUGCAGCCGAGAAGGGUCGGACUAUUUUUCAGCUUGAUGUCAAGUCUGCAUUUCUAAAUGGUGAGCUUGAAGAGGAAAUUUUUAUUGAACAACCUGAAGGGUUCUGUGUUAAAGGGCAAGAAGAGAGUGUAUACAAAUUGCACAAAGCUUUAUAUGGACUGAAGCAAGCUCCAAGAACUUGGUAUGGAAAAAUUGAUCGAUAUCUACUGGAUUUAGGUUUUAAAAGGAGCUUGAGUGAGUUCACUCUUUAUAUUAAGAAAGUGAAUCAUAGUGUGGUAGUUCUGUCUCUAUAUGUGGAUGAUCUUUUGGUAACAGGAAAUGAUGUUCAGCUGAUAGAAAAUGUUAAGCAAGGCUUAUUUGCUGGUUUUGAGAUGACAGACUUAGGAAAAAUGGCUUACUUCUUAGGUCUGGAAAUCAAGCAAAGUCCUUAUGAAAUCUUCAUUUGUCAGAGGAAGUACUUAAAGGAAAUUUUGAAGAAGUUUCAGAUGGAAGAAUGUCGAAGUGUCAGUACACCUAUGGCAGCAAAAGAGAAGUUGCAGAAGAGUGAUGGAACUGAAGCUGUGGAUGUCUCGAUGUACAGAAGUCUAAUAGGUUGUCUCAUGUACCUCACAGCAACCAGACCAGACAUUCUAUUUGUUGUAAGUGUUCUGUCCAGAUUUAUGAGUGAUCCAAGUCAGCUUCAUUUGAUUGCAGCUAAAAGGAUUUUAAGGUAUUUGAAAGGAACCAUGUUUUUUGGAGUGAAGUUUCGAAGGAGUCAAGAAUUCAAUCUACAAGGUUAUUCUGAUAGUGAUUGGGCUGGCUCGAUGGAUGAUAUGAAGAGUACAUCUGGGUACUGUUUCAGUUUAGGAUCAGCUUGUUUCACUUGGUGUUCUAAAAAGCAAGAAAUUGUAGCUCAAUCUACUGCAGAAGCAGAGUUUAUAGCUGCUACUGCAGCUGCAAAUCAAGCCUUAUGGCUGAAGAAGAUAAUGAAAGAUCUUUGGCUGAACUCCAAUGAAUGUAUCAAGAUCAAUGUGGAUAACCAAGCUGCAAUUGCAAUAUCUCAGAACCCAGUUUUUCAUGGCAAAACUAAGCAUUUCAAGGUCAAGUUCUUCUUUCUACGUGAGGUGCAACAAAAUGGUGAGGUCAUGCUGGUUUAUUGCAGAUCUGAAGAUCAACUUGCUGAUAUUUUUACUAAACCACUUCAAGCUAGAAGAUUUGAAGCAUUGAGAAAGAAAAUUGGAGUAUGCAGCAGCUACUGAUCCAAGGAGGAGUUUGUUGGAUUUUUGAUGUCUUAGUGCUGCUGUUUUUAGACUAAAGCUUCUCUGUUCUGUUUUAUAUUGUUUUAGUUUAUUUUCUUACUUAGUCAAUUAUGUUAUGCAGUUGUUGUUGUGUUAUUUAGGAAGUUAAGUACCUGUUCGGGUGCAGUUACAAGCAGAACCUGUGUGUGCAGUUAUUUUUUUUGGUUUAAGUCGUGUUUUGUACUUGACUUUUUUACUAAAGAACUGUAGAAGGCAGUUUUUAUGCUCUGUUCUCUCUGUUUCCUCUGUUUUUCUUCUUUCUUCCUCGAUAUCUAUAGUUCUGGCAUUUAUGCUUCUUUGCUGCUUUGAUCAGCAUCAACAGUUAUGCACUGUUCAGAAUCCCAGAUUCAUUUGUAAAGGUUUCUAGAGGAAGGAUUUUGUUUACUGUUUUUCUAAAUUAUACAACAGGUAUUUAUAAUUUAGAUUUCUAAAAUGUAAUUUCCUUUCAAUUUCCAGAGAGAAGGAUCGCAUUGUUUCUUGGUGCAACUGGGCAGAAGUUUCUAUCUGUGUAUUGCUCGUGUGGCACGUAUAUUGAUUUUUUUGACAAUCCUCCUAACAGUUUACUUGGUGACACCCAAUAACAUAUCGUUUGGCUAUAUUUUGCUCCUCCUAUGUUGGAUCAUGGGAAGACAACUCGUUGAAAGGACGAGAAGACAUUUUUAGUUUCCAUUAAAAGUAUAUGCAAUCACUGUGUUUAUCUUCUUAUACAGCUUGAGCAAUUUCUCCACCCUUGAGAUGUGGUUGUCGGGGUUGAUUGAUCUUCAGUUUUACUUGGCCUACAACUCAGAAGCUUUGCUAUUGCAGAAUAUUUGGCAGUCUAUUGCAAUACUGAUUGUGAUGCAGCUUUACAGCUACGAGAGGAGACAGAGCAAGUAUAUCCAAUUUGGUGACUCCAAACUUAUGGAAUUUGGAGUACUUGGAUUUAUUAAGAGUUUCCUCAUUUGGCACAGUGACAAGAUAGUGUCUAUAUCAAAGUUCUAUGCAUCAUUGUCACCAAUUAGUCUCUUUGGUUUCCUUUAUCUGCUCGGUCUUGUCAUUUGUUACCUUUUACCUAAAGCUUCUCGAAUCCCAUCAAAUUUUAUUACUUCUUUAUACAGGACUUCUGGUGAUGACAGAAUAUCUCUUUCAGAUGUGGGGUGCCCAGGCAGGAAUGUUUCCUGGACAGAAUGACUUUAGUUUGGCCAAGUUCUUGGGUUUUGAGUUAUUUCAGUCAGGCUUUUGGGGUCUAGAAUUGGGUUUAAGGGGGAAAAGUGCUGGUGUUAUCUGCUUGUAUCCUUCAAUACAAUGUCUUCCGUUGGUUGCAAAAAGUACCAACUCACAUUUUGAGCAAAUAUUACACCAAAGAACCUUGCCCUCUGUUUGUAUCAACAGAAGAAGUGUUUAGGGAUUUUUCUAAUUCAAACGGGGAAAGCAACCGCCUGCAGAUUCUCCUGCAAUUCCUUGUGAAGCAUAAGGCGUGAGAAACAAUUUGUCUUCCUCAGCCUCUGGUUUUUCUCAAGCAUCAAAUAAUGUACCCAAAACUGGAGGCUCUGGGGGUGGCAGUGCUAGAAAAUAUUCCUUUGGAUAUAUUUGGGUAAGCACCAACGAAAGCCACAAAUGGAACAAGAAAAGAAUUAUCACCAUGAGAAGGGAGAGAUUUGAAACGCAGAAGACAAUCUUCAUAGGCUAUAUAAAUUUUUGGAUGGAGAACAUGUUUAAUCUCUUGGGCCUCGAAAUAAACAUGGUGGCCUUGCUCCUUGCCUCCUUUGCUUUGUUAAAUGCCAUUCCAAUGCUAUAUAUUGCACUUCUCGCUGCUUGCAUACUUCUGAAUCGCAAUGUCAUUCGGAAAUUAUGGCCAGCACUUGUCUUUUUGCUUGCUUCCAUUCUCGUCCUACAAUACUUUGUCAUUUGGAAGAGCACACCAUCUGCCAAUUCACAAACAUCAAGUAAGGCUGAGUCUGUAUUUCCUUUCGAAUUUUAUGAUUCUCCUGCCAGUAUGAAUGCUGAAAGUCUUCAUGUGAUGAAUUCAGCUGAUCAUUCAUUUGACUUUUCCGAUUGCGAGAUCAAUGAGGCUGAGAAGGAUGGUGGAGGUUCUUUAUAUGAUUCAGAUAAGAGAGCCAGAGGUCAAGCUGAGGAUAACUCUGUAGUUUCUGCUGUGCAGCUUUUAGGAGAUGGCGGUUAGUUCUCUUGUAACCUUCCCCGAACAUCAAGCCAGAAGACAUGGAUGCCAGGGGCAUACUCAAGCAGUCUCCCCUGCACCCGAUCAACGGCCAGGAUCACUUGACGAAGCAGCAGAAGUUCGCCAGAUCGAAGCUCCGGGUCUCCAUCAACCUGCCGGACAACGAAAUCUCCCUCCUCCGCAGCCGGCGGAACCUGAGCUUCAGCGAAUCGUCCGCCGGCGCCGGCGCCAGCGCCGAACCUCCGACUUCUCCUUCUUCAUCUCCCCACUCCUCGUCCUUGGCCUCAGCGUCGAUCGGUCGGAUCUUCAAAGGGAAGGCUCCGGCGACGGCGAGGGGGAGCCUCGAGAACGGCGGUAGCGGCGGUGACCCCGCGGGGGGCGGCAGGCGUAUAGGAGCACGAGGACGGUGGUGGAGGUGCUGCGGGAGCUGGACGCGGACAUAGUGGCGCUGCAGGACGUGAAGGCGGAGGAGGAGAGGGAGAUGAAGCCGCUGUUGGAGCUGGCAGCGGCGCUGGGGAUGAGCUACGCGUUCGCCGAGAGCUGGGCGCCGGAGUACGGCAACGCCGUCCUCUCCCGGAAGGUCCAAAAGAUAUUCGACGACACCGAUUUCAGGUCCGUCAUUUCGUUUUAUUUUAUUUUAUUUAUUAAUUUAUUAAUUUCCAUAUAAUUUUUACCUGUUAUUCUUGCUAUCAUUUUCGUAAUUAUGGUGACGAUGAUAUGCUCUCUUUCUCAUUGAGCAAGUGGUCUUCCUAGGCGAUUUCGAAAUUUAAAAGAUAUUUUCAUUUAUUUAUUGAGGCGUCCACCGUUGAAAGCGAAGUUUGAUAAUAUAUCAUAAAUUAAUAUUCCCUCUUGACAUAUUAUAUAAUUUUUUCUUACAUUUUUCCAAGUGAAAAGAUUAAUUGCGCAGACCCAUCUACAACGGUGCAAAUCCACUUUGGACAGUUGAAAUUUUCGUUAAAAUUAAGGUAAGGUGGAUGUAAUAAAAAUUCACAAGACCAAAAAAUAAAAGCAAAAACAUAAGCUUUUGCCUAGCCAUCAGAAUUUGUGGAUGAAAAUCUUGCUGUCACUUGGUUUAUAUUUUGUCUUUUUUUUUUUCCCUCCCCUUUUUUAACUGUUCUAUUUGGAAUUAUCUGAAUGGAGUUGUCCAGGAACUGAUCUGGGAAGAAUUUGGAAUAUUAUUCACGAGAACCCUACCACCAAAAAUUCAAGAAUUCCCCAAGGCUUUUCUCCCACAGCCUGUUUGCCUUUGUUCAACUUACGGAAAGCUAUCUGCAACAACUAUGGUGGGCCUUUCCAAGGAUCCCAGCACCAGCUGGAGCAAUGCCAGUCAGAAUUAAAAUAUAAAUUAAAUUAAAAAAAACCCAUUAUUUGCUUUCUAUGAUCUUAGAUAUGGGUUCUCCCAAAGAAUUGUCAUUUAUCAAUAAUAAUAAUAAUAAUAAUAAUAAUAAUAAUAAUAAUAAUAAUAUCUUCGGUUAUAACUAUUCGAAAUUCGUGCGAGUGUGUGUGAUGAAAGACUGUCUUGGACUUCUUUCAUUCCUCCUUUUUUCAUUUCUGGUUGCAUUUAGUGGGUUGAUGAGAGUCACCGUUGAAGAUCAUUUUGUACUAAUUGCUGAUAUAGUCAAGAGAAUGCUUAGGAACUGCUAAAUUACAUAUAUAUUUUUUGCUCUUUAGUAUUUAAAUAAGGAGUUGGGAAGAUAAACGAAGGAUAAGAUCUAUGACGUACAUUAAAUGAGGGCAGGGUAAGGUGUAUGUAGGUGGGACAGUAACGUGGGGAGGAUUUUGCUUUUGCUUUAUUUUAUGUAUUUGCCAAAUCAGAUGCUUGACCUGAAGACUGUGCAAGGACUACUCAUCUUCAAGGAAAACUACAUUUCUCUCAAGCGAGACAGACCAGAUAGAAUUAACUUGUUUGAGACAGCAAGCAAUUGCUCGUCAUGGAGUCAAUUUCCGAGACUUUUGCGUUCGAUUAAUUGAGCCACGCCUUAGAUAGUGAAGGGAUUAUGUGCUUUCGUUGCGCGAAAAUUCAGAAAAAGAAGAAAAGGGUGAAUUGAAAUAUAAUCGAUCGACGUAUUAAAUUGACUAGGAAUCAAAGUGGCUGUGAAGUUGAUAUGUUUUAUUAGGGAAAAGUACCAAAAAAGUCUUAAACCUAUUGCAUUAGUACCAAUUCAGACAUAAACUUUUCAAUUGAACCAAUUCAGUUCUAAACCUUUUACUAUUGGUACUAAUUCAGUCCAUUCGGCCAAUUUUGGCUAGCCGACGCUGACAUGGACGUCGGCCGGUGGCCGGACGCUGAAGUGGAAAUUUUUAUGAUUUUUUUUAAUUAUUUUUUCGAAUUUUAUUAUUAUUAUUUUUCUUUUUUCUUUUCUUUUUCCUUUUUUUUUUUUUGUCUUCUUCCUUGCGUUGGCCGGCGAGGGCUUCGCAGCCCUCGCCUGCCGCCGGCGAGAGUCGCGGCCCUUGCCCGGCCUCUCCCAGGGCCGUUGGUGAGGAGGCUUUGCCCGGAUCUAGGCAAGGCUAGCCUCGGCCGCGGCCCUGGGCGAGGCCGGGCGUGGGNNNNNNNNNNNNNNNNNNNNNNNNNNNNNNNNNNNNNNNNNNNNNNNNNNNNNNNNNNNNNNNNNNNNNNNNNNNNNNNNNNNNNNNNNNNNNNNNNNNNAAUUAAAAUCAAGCAACGGGUCACUAAAGCUGACCUUCACCAAUUAGUGCACCAUCAUUACCCUUUGACUAAUAUCGGUUCGUUUUGAUUUGUACGUGCGGUAGAAAUUUCCUAGAAGGAGAGACCCCUCUUAAUGACAUCCUAUGUAUUGAAUACGGCCAUGGAAGUUUAUGCAACUAUACGACUAUAUUAUUUUUACAAAAAUCUAAUUGCAUCCCUUUGGUAGCUGAACCCUCUACACAUUUUUCAAGGGAGAAUUACAAAAAAAAAAAAAAUCUUAAAAUUUAUUGCAAUUGUACCAAGUUAGUCAUAAACUUUUUUAUAAUUGUAAUAAUUCAGUCCAUCUGGCCGGCCAACGCAAGGAAGAAGAUAGAAAAAAAAAAGGAAAAGAUAAAAAAUUAAUAAAAAAUUCGAAAAAAUAAUUAAAAAAUCAUAAAAAUUGUCACGUCAGCGUCUGGCCACCAGCCGGCGUCCACGUUAGUGUCAGCCGGCCAAAAUUGGCCGGAUGGACUGAAUUGGUACCGAUAGUAAAAUGUUUAGGACUAAAUCGGUUCAAUUGAAAAGUUUAGGACUGAAUUGGUACCGAUGCAAUAUGUUUUGGACUUUUUUGGUACUUUUCCCUAUUUUAUUACAUAUGAAUGUUCUGAAGGCAACAAUAGAAGUGCCCCAUGUUGGGGAAGUGAACUUCCAGUGCACCCACCUGGAUCAUCUCGACGAGAACUGGCGGAUGAAGCAAGUCGGCGCCAUCAUCCAGUUGAGCGACUCUCCCCACAUCUUGGCCGGUGGCCUCAACUCUCUCGACGAGACCAAUUACUCGCAAGAUUGGUGGACCGACAUCGUCAAGGUAUGUACAUUUCUAUCAUGUUUGAUGUGAUAUUCGUUAGCACGUCAAACUCGAUUACUAAAUAGCUUAAGCUACGGCGAUUUUGUAAUCAUGGGCACCUGUGUUUGUUACAAAACUAUGAAGAGAUGGGAAAACCGACCCCAAAGGUUGAAGUCAUGAGGUUUCUGAAGAGCAAGCAAUUCACGGAUGCUAAGGACUUUGCCGGAGAAUGCGAGUCCGUGGUCGUCAUUGCCAAAGGACAAAGUAAGAACUCACUUGUUUGCUUUCCCAUGUUUCGAUUUUUCUUUUUCGCUUUGUCAAAUGGCUAAUCUAAGGUGCUUUUCGAGCACAAUGCUCCUUUCCUUUCGCUCUAAGAUAAGAUGAUUGGCUUGAAUGGACAUAAAUUCAUAACAUUUGAAGCAUGAUGAUCAUGUUGAAUAUGUACAUCCGUUGUUGUCAUCACUUUGUCGAUAUCAACCUCUGAUGUGAAAAUCCGUGGUAUAAAAAUUGAAGUCCAAAAUAUUUUUUUCGGGUGAUUACUGUCUGAACAUGUAAUUUGAAACUGUCUAUUCUAUUGUAGGUGUGCAAGGGACAUGCAAAUAUGAAACGAGGGUGGACUACAUACUAGCGUCAUCAGAUUGCCCAUACAAGUUCGUUCCAAGGUCAUAUUUGGUCCUGUCAUCGAAAGGGACAUCAGAUCACCACAUCAUAAAGGUCGACGUAACGAAAUGCAAAAACAACCCUCCCCAUGAAAGUAAUGGCAACGACAAUAAAAUUACCAAGAAAAGGCGACGACAGCGUAAGCACCAAGCCGUUGUAAAGAUCUCCGGCAUAGCUCCUCCUUCAAAGGGUAUAUGGACAGCGAACACAUUAAGCAAAGUCGAAUGACAUUAUGUCACGCCCCGAACCUCGAGCGUGCCAACAUCCCGCCAUGGUCAUUCAAAUGCGACGUUCCCAGGUUAAGUCGCCGACCCAAUCAAUUCUUUAAUGCACAUGCGGAAGCAUAUUAUAAAACCCCUGACAAUAAAAUAUGGGAUAGAAAAACAGGAAGCAAUUUCACAACAAUACACUUUCAUAAAUCAACGGAGUUACAAACGAAGGCCUAUAGCCAAAAGUCUCCAAAAGAUCGGCUCUUAAAAAGGAACUGUCCUAUAACCUACAAGUCGGACACGUUCUCUAAUCCUCCUUACUUCACCUCUGCAACUCCUCAAGGCCGGCCAACCAAAGCGAUCUGGUCGCUCCAUCCACAAGGGACCUGAAAAUGUUGGCCCACAAUGGGAUGAGACAUUGUCUUAGCAAGUUCAACCCCCUAAACCCCUAUUAGAAAAAAAAUACGCCCAAGAAUGGCCUAGCCACACCACAUAGAGGAUUUACUUCGCCUCAGUUCAUUCCUGUAGGUUAACACAAUUCAUAUCACUCAAUCACAUGUUCAUAUCACCAACCACAUGCAUGAAUACGAACUUAAACAACCAGAACGCCUUCGCUUUCAUAUAACUGACAACCACAGGGUCCUGAUUAUAAGACUAAAUCGUUAUGACACGUCCCAUUCCAUGCCACACAAUUCCGUCCCAUAAUCCGACACAUCAACAACACUCAACAUGCAUUCCAAUUGUUAUUCACUACCACACAAGGGCAUAGCCUACUCGCAGUUCAGCUAUCUACUGGCAUAUAGCUAGGCAUCACCUCCCCACCUUGGAGCGUAGCUUCGUCAGUAUGUCGAUGGCGUUCCCGAAGGAGCAUGGGCCCAGAAUCAACUGCGACCCGCAACCACUACGUGGGCAUCCCAUAUAGGGGCAAGUCUGGCUCAACAGCCUAGGAUGAUCUCCUCUUAAUUAUUACACAACAAUUCAUAUUCUGCCCGGGACACUUUGCAUUUCAUUCAAUGCUUUCACUUAAAAUAGUGAUCCCGGCCAUUUUUUUAAUAUUAAAAAUACUCCAGAAAUUAACCAUGUGUGUGGGGCAUGUUAAUUUCGAUCCAGAAAACCAAUAUCUCACUUUUUCAAACCCCACUAUUUAAUAUAAUAUUGAAAAUUCAAUUUUUGCAUUAAAAUCCGACACUUGGGUUUUUAUGAAUAAAAUCCCUAUUUAUCACAAUCAACACUCAAUUUGCCACAUCCAUUCAUCAAAUUCAAAUUCUAAAUGCACAGCAGCGAUUCGCACGAAAUUCUGACAAAAUAAGGUCUCGAAAUAAUUUUUGGAAUUUAUUAAAUAAUUAAAUUUAUUCCGAAAAUUAAUUAAAUAAUAAAUCCAUAUUUUUUACGAUCCACACUCAAUUUAUAAUAUCCAAUCAUCAAUUUCAAGAUCUGACUACAUAGUAGCGACCGGCGCGAAAUUCUGAGAAUUUAGGGUCUUGACAAAAUUUUCGGAAUUUAAUAAAUAAUUAAAUUUUAUUCCGAAAAUAAUUAAAUAAUAAUAUUUUAAUAAUUUCGAAUAAUAAUAUAUUAUUAAAUUAUUUAAUAAUUUCGAAAUAUUUAAAUAAAUCAAAAGUAAAUUCCUUUAUGUCAAAUCACCAUUAUACUAAUAUAAACUUCAAUUUAACCUUAAUUAAACAUACUUUAAAUUAAACUAACCUCUUAAUCUAAUUCACAAUUAAAUAAACUAAACUAACCACAUAAGCUUACUUAACUUAGACUAAGCAUAUUUAGGGCAUCAUUAACCCUCUAAUCAAGAUUUAGUGAGUUAAACUCACUCAAAUGACGAGCCAAGCGGACCAAAACGAUGGGGACGCCGAGGGGAACAACUUCCUUCAAAGCGGGCCAAGCAUCCGGGGUUGGGAAGCCAGCCAAAACGGGCCAAAAUCGGGCUGAGAAACCCACUAAAACUAGCUGCUAUCCAAGCUCGGGGGAGGACUGUCCGGCGGCGAUUCGGGCGCGGGGGUGGCAGAGAGAGGCGGCGGCAACUCGGGCGGUGGCUCACGGCGGCCUAGCAGGAUCUCCGGUGACGGCUAGCAGCUCGGGACAACGGAUGAUGGUUGUUGGCUCGCAGACGAAGCAGGGACGGGAGGGCAGAGCAACUCGCGCACGGGACGGCAGCGAGCGGGCGCGGUGCGCGGGCGACGACGACAGCACCGUCGACGGCGGCAACGAACAAGCGGACGGAGGGGUGGACGAAGGGGGCGUCAGGCUGCUGGUUCCGGUCGAAGUUCCCCCCUCUCUCUCCUCCAAAGUCCAAAGGAAGAAGAUGAUGUUGAUGGGUACUUUUUUAGGGCCAAUCUACACCAUCCACUUGUCCAAAUCUCCUUCAAUUUGGCCCAACCACCAUGACAUCACAUGAUGUCAUACUCCACUAUCCAAAUUCUUCCACAACCUUUCUCCAAUAGGUCCAAUUUCCUUUUCCGCCGAGGCAUGAAACCUUGUAUAUUAAUUUCUUUAAUUCCAUUCAAUUCUCUUCCAAUUGAGUCAAAUUGAAGUCCAUAAAUUAAUCCAAUGUCACCACACUUUAAUUCACACCCUCACUUGUCCAUAGAACCCUCUUAAGUCCCAAAAGCACGAUCAAGGGUGGGCCUACUAAUUUCUCGAGCCAAAAUAGCCAUUCUCUGAUUUAAUUGUUGAAAAAAUUCUGAUUACAUGAAAAAUCUUCCGAAGAUGAGUCAAUGAUCCUAAAAUGAUUUGUGACACACUAGGACUUCCAAUUUCUAAAUUCGAUAUUAAUUUCACGAUUAAUUUCACUUUGGCAUGAUACUAGCGCAUCCUGAUCUACCGGGUAGCCUUUAGAAAUUUUCAUGCAUUUAACCUGUGGUUGAUCAAUUCAAGCCACAAUGUACAUCUUUGAAACAUUUGCGACUUUCGGUUGUCGGGGUAAAAUCAAGGUUUCAAAUACGGACACAGGGUACCCAAUCGACAGAAAAGUCAGUCCAGUGCCGAUCAACAAGAAUUGUGCGAUCUGGUGGAAUCACCCACACCUGAUCACAUGCCUCUGUCGAGUCAACCUAUCUCCGGUCUCUAAUCGAUUUUUAAUUGUGCCGUAAUGACCCUUGCAGAUUAGCUCGGUCGAAAGGUCGCUUCCUGAUCAAAUUCUCGAGUCUGAUGCAUUAGAAUCUCUUAACGGCUUCACCUAAUAGACUAGUUUUCACAUGAGUGGCCGACCCAAGGAAAAUAACUAUAUGCGUACCAACGACAUGCCCAUCUCAAUUUAUUGAAAAUAGAAUUGGAAAAUCGGGAUGUCACACAUUACAUGUUGUUGCGAUGGGGCAAGCGAUCGAACAAAAUAUACACGGAAGAAGAAAAAUAAAUCGGACACCAGAUUUACGUGGUUCAGACGUAAAGACCUACGUCCACGGGGAGAGCAUCAGUGAAUUUCACUAUAGAUCAAGCGAUACAAGGAGAUUACACACUCGAGUCACUCAAACACUCUCUCGGUGUUUCCCAAGCCCCAAUUACACCCAAUAACGCACCCAGUGUUUAGCCCCGAAAUUCCUCGAAAAUAAUCUCUCAAUCUCACGAAGGAAUUACAUGCAAAUCUUACCUCAAGAUUUAAUCGACUACAAACACUAAACUUCUUGGAUGUAAUUGCACAAACGAAAAACAAUAAGCCCACUUUCAAGCACUCGAUAUUUGGUGCUUCAAGUUUGCUUGCAUCAACAACGGCGGAACAAGCACUCACGCGGCGCUUCAAGAUGUGGCUUCGCUGAAGAGAGUCCUAUGAGCAAAAGUUAUAUAUAUAUGACCGCCAGAGAAUUGCAUGCAUGGAAGAAAACCGAAUAAUCCAAGAUUCGGUCAACAAAGAAGAAAGAUUGACUUUCCUCUUUGGUUCCAAGCGGCAGAGUUGGAUGCUGCUUUCUUCGUAGCCUUAUUUUUUUCUCAUUUUUUUUUAAUUAUUUCAAAAUUCAACUUUUCGCUUGGGGCUUAAACUCGAGUCAUAAAUUUAACAAUCUCCACCUUGGCUCGACGUUUGAGCCAAAUUACAAUCGCUUCGUAAAAAUUCAAAUUCUGCCGCUACUUUCCCAUAGCCCUCGACGGGCUCAACUGCCACAGAUAUUAUCCAAGUCCAAGCCUCGCUUGAACUUUGCUAUAAUCGAGGACCUCAUCAUAAUACCAACUCCACAUGCACCUUUAACUGCUCGACAAGGAUUUUUCGACACAACCUCCUCAAUCACAGAUAAAGUAAAACCAUUAUUGCAUCUAUAUUUGUCAGGAGAUCAAAUACAUACCUUGUUAAUUUCAGCAGUUACAGCAACUGUUGGCUCUAUAGGCUCCACCUCACUAUGAGCACCAUCUGUGUUGAUUACUUUGCUAGUACUCGUACUCGCUACCUCAGGAGUUUUUGGUUGCAACUCCACCUCAAGCUGAACACCGUUCAGAUCUGUAUUAACACUGCCAUAAACACUCCUAGCUAGAACUAUCGAAGACUUCUCAAUAGUAAGUUCUCUACUAUCAACAGGUGAAUUUAUAUCCGGGCACCACAACUGAUCGCCCCACUCACCUUGUGCAUAGCCAUGGAAUAUGCACCUUGCCCUCCUAUCGAGCUUACCAUCACUCACUCGAAAAUAACACGGGCAACCAAAUAUUCUAAGAACAGAAUAAUCGGCAACAUUACUUGAUCACACUUCUUCAGGAGUCUGCCAUUCAAUAGUAGUUGAUGGGGAUCUAUUCACUAGGUAGCUUACCAUACUUAGCACAUCAGCUAGGAUUCUCCUAGCUAUACCAGCACUAGAGAUAAUUUUUCGGGCCAUCUCUAGUAAUGUUCUGCUCAUCAAUUCUGCAAAUUGUUGUGAUUUACUAGCACUAGUGUAGUGUUUCACUAUGCUCUCUUUCAUGCAGUCAGCUCCGAGCAAAACUCCAUGUUAUUGUCAGUCCGCACAUGCUUGAUCGACUUACCAGUCUCUGUCUCGAUCAAAGCUCUUGACUGCGAGAUCCUGACACCAGCAUCAAACUUGUGCCUUGGCACAAACACCCAAGUCUUCCUCGAGCAGUCAAAAGACUCUCGAACAGAUGCAUCCGACGUCUCCGCAGCGAAAUUUAUCACUGUCUCACCUCGAAGUUUAUACAGGCCAUCGUGCUUGAUUUCUUUCAUUAUCACCAGGGCACCUCGAACAACCUUCAGAAUUCCACCUUUUGAAGAAUAUUUGCAACUAGCUGAAUCUAGGGCACCCAAGGAAAUUAAAUUAUUUUUCAAUUCUGGAACAUGCCUCACUCCAGUCAAUGUCCUCACGAUACCAUCAUGCAUUCUGAUUUUAACAUCACCAACACCCACAACGUCGUACUCAGCAUUAUUCCCUAACUGGACUUUACCACUACCCGCGCACUGAUAAGUGAUAAACCAGUUUCUAUUUGGUGUGACAUGAAAAGAACAACCAGAAUCCAUAACCCAUCCAUCAAGUGAUGAAUCACUAGUGACAGACAAGACAUAAUCGGCAUUAUCUGCUACAGCUGCAACAUUAUCUGCAGAAUCAACUAUAAUUUCCUUACCAUUAUCAUUCUUCAGCUUAAGGCAAUCCCUUCUAAGAUGCCCUCUCUUGCCACAGCUCCAACAGACAACAUUAGCAGUCCUAGAUUGACUACGUCUGUUCAUAUUAGUACUACCAUUACCCAUGCGUGUUACAGAUCUUCCUCUAUUUCCACCUACUAGAGCAGUAGAUACAGAUUCGCCAGAUUCUUUUCUACGAAUAUCCUCGCUCAGAAUUAAAUCUUGAACCCCAUCAAACGUCAAACUUGUUGACCCAAAGGAAUUACUAACAACAGUAACGGUAGUAUUCCAACUAUCAGGCAAUGAAGAUAAUAGAAUCAAAGCACGUACCUCAUCUUCAAAAUCAAUCUCAACUGAACUCAAUUGACUAACAAUCACAUUGAAUUCAUUGGUAUGAUCUGCAACUAACGCACCUUCUUUCAUCUUCAAGUUAAACAGACGUCGCAUCAAACAGACCUUGUUGAUCGCAGAGGGCUUCUCGUACAUAUCCGACAAGGCUUGCAUCAAAUCAGCAGUGGUCUUCUCCUUCAGGAUAUUAAACGCGACGUUACGAGCCAACGUCAGCCGAAUAACACCCAUAGCUCGUCUAUCCAGCAAAUCCCAAUCAGCUUGCUUCAUCGUCUCUGGUUUCUCCUCAAAUAAAGGCAAGUGCAGAUUCAUCUGGUAAAGAUAAUCUUCAAUCUGCAUCUUCCAGAAACUAAAAUCAUUCCCAUCAAAUCUGUUGAUUCUCACUUUUACUUAUUCUGUCGCCAUCGAUUCGCUUCAACUUAGCCAAGCUUGGCUCUGAUACCACUUGUUGCAAUGGGGCAAGCGAUCGAACAAAAUAUACACGGAAGAAGAAAAAUAAAUCGGACACCAGAUUUACGUGGUUCAGUCGUAAAGACCUACGUCCACGGGAAGAACAGCGGUGAAUUUCACUAUAGAUCAAGCGAUACAAGGAGAUUACACACUCGAGUCACUCAAACACUCUCUCGGUGUUUCCCAAGCCCCAAUUACACCCAAUAACGCACCCAGUGUUUAGCCCCGAAAUUCCUCGAAAAUAAUCUCUCAAUCUCACGAAUGAAUUACAUGCAAAUCUUACCUCAAGAUUUAAUCGACUACAAACACUAAACUUCUUGGAUGUAAUUGCACGAAUGAAAAACAAUAAGCCCACUUUCAAGCACUCGAUAUUUGGUGCUUCAAGUUUGCUUGCAUCAACAACGGCGGAACAAGCACUCACGCGGCGCUUCAAGAUGUGGCUUCGCUAAAGAGAGUCCUAUGAGAUAUAUAUAUAUAUAUAUAUAUAUAUAUAUAUAUAUAUAUAUAUAUAUGAGACCGCCAGAGAAUUGCAUGCAUGGAAGAAAACCGAAUAAUCCAAGAUUCGGUCAACAAAGAAGAAAGAUUAACUUUCCUCUUUGGUUCCAAGCGGCAGAGUUGGAUGCUGCUUUCUUCGUAGCCUUUUUUUUUCUUAUUUUUUUUUAAUUAUUUCAAAAUUCAACUUUUCACUUGGGGCUUAAACUUGAGUCAUAAAUUUAACACAUGUAUAUCGCCCUUUUCUUUCCACUCUUUUCUUAGUUGCUUCUCCUAUUUUUGCCGUUGAGUGAUCUUAGGCAUGCUGGCUUCGUCAAUCUCUGUGUAAAUCUACGAUUGUUUUGUGCAUCUUGUCUUCUGUUUUUGUUUGUUUGUUUGUUUUGUUAUUUUUUUCUUUUCAGUUUAGAGUUGAAGAGGGGAGGGUUCUGGUGUGAUGGCUUCCUCACAUCUGUAUAGAUUUCGACAUGACAGAAGCGAAUUCUUACGUUUCAACUGGGCAUUGGAGCUGAGCGGUUCUGGCAAGUUCUUUUUCAGUAUUUUAUGCCUUUUCUUUUCGCUUGUAAUCUUAAUUGCAAGAUUCAGAUUAGUUUUGCCGGGGUGACAUCUCAAGUUGACUUUGCUGAGAUUGAGUUUAGAGAAUGCGAUCAUGUAUCUUUAAAUUUAACCGAAAAUUGAAAAGUUUUAGAUUAAAGUCCUUGGAAUAAAAUUGCAAAUUUCGAAAAUUGAAUUUUUUUUGUUAAGUUCGACAUUUGAGGGAUUUGAUAAAAGACCCAAAAGAUUUCAAAUGAAAUACCUUUAAAAAGCAAAUAAGGAAAAAAAAAAAAAGCUGUGAAAUCUGGUAAUUAUGAAUUCUAAACAUCCGUGACAGUAUUGCUCAAAAAAAAAAAAAAAAACAUCGGUGACAGUAGUCAAUGUUUUAAUUUUUUUUUCUCCGGUCUUGAAAUUAGCAUUGGAGAGAAGAAAAGUGGUAAGUUAGUGCAAUCUACUUCGACAUCUUAACAAAUACCUUCUGUGAUCUCUAAAUGGAGCCUUAAUGAGCAUUAUAAGUAAAAGUGUAAUGAAAAGAGAAAGAAAUAGAUUUUCUAUAUAAUAGACAUUGUUGGCUGAUGUAUCAUGCUAAUUAGCUUAUGAAUAAAAAACUGCCGCUCCCUUAUAAUGGUUAGCAAACUGCGCCCCUUGCAUUAGCAUAGUAGAGGAAGCAAGUAUCUCUCAGUUGGCGUAUACUCUUCAAUUGAUCCUCCUUGAUGUAAUUUAUAUGGAUUGAAUUAUUUAUUUCGAUUUUGCUUGGGAUCUCAAUUUAGAAAAUCAUGGGAUCUAAAGCUCAGAUAACAACAAGAGGAAUUAAAAAAAAAAAACAGUUAAGACAUUGCGUCAAUAUCGUUGACCGGUAAGAAUCCCAGUACUUGCGACCUUGCAGGUCUGCUACUCGGGACCUCACUAAUAUAUGACAUAAAAAUAAAAAUAAAUUUAAAAAUUUUUUUUAAAUUAAUCAUUAAUAUUUGAUAAUUCUGCCGUUUGUUUAAGGGCUAUGCUAGUAGGUCACAUGACACAUCCAAUGACGUUUUCACUGCACAUGUUCAUGUUUUUUUUUUUCUAUAGUGAUAUGGUCAGUUAUUAAAAUGUUGUAUUUUUUUCCCUUUUUGUUGCGAAUUUCCCUUCUAUAAAUCAUGAACACGAACACGAGCACAAAAUUUUUUCGUCGAAAUAAUUGGUCUAUUCAACACCUGCUGAUACAUUUAAUUGUUUUCUAUAUCAUGAAUAAAUUAUUAAGUGAUGAUUGGACAAAUCAUUAAAUAGAAAAAUCUCUUGACAAAAAGUAUCCUAGAUUAUCUCAAGCGAAGAUCUAGACAUACAUUAUUGUAUUUUAGGGUACAAGAUUGGCUGUCUCUUUGUCACUGAUUUUGUAAGUGUCCUAUUGCCUUUGGAUGGUAAUUCUUUUUGUAACUGUUCGACUUUAAAGUCGGCAAUGACCAGGAGUAACCAUCUUUGAUCAAGCCCUCUUAAGUGAACACUUAAAAAGAAUUAGUCUCUUAAUCACUGGAAUUGUGUUAAAUCAAAGGUAUUGUUUGUAGAUAUCAUGAAUAAUGGAAAAUUUUCCAAAAAUGUCCUAAAUCUAUUGCACUUUAGCCAAUUAAGUCAUAAAAUUUUUAAUUACGUCAAUUGAAUCCUAAACCUUUUCACAUUUUGCCAACUAAGUUUAUUGGGCCAAUUUUAAGAAAAAACCACUGAUGUGAACACCGGCCAUCUUAUGUAGGAUGAUAGAUACUAAUGUUGGCAAAUUCUUAUAAUUUUUUUAAAAAAUGGAUUUUUUUUUUUAUUUUUUUUUAUUUUACCAUGGCUUGUGAGAGUCGUCAGGUCCUAGCAGCUACUAGCGAAGACUCAGUGACCCUCGCCGGACAUGGCAAAAAAAAGUAAAGGAGGAAAAGAGAAGAAAAUAAAUAAGGUUCGUAAUGGUCAUGAGUAAACGGUCAGGAUGAGCAACGAUAUUAAAAAGCACUCGUGUAGUUCUUCGCCCGUUAGUAUGCUAAACAUGGAAAAUGUCGAAUCAACAUCAAUUUAACACUGUCUUUACUCGAAUAGCUACAGAACUAUGUAAGAAAACACAAGGAACAAGAAGAGAAUCCUGAAGCUCUAGACACGGCAUGACCAUGAAAAAUCCACCGAGAGCUGGUUUUUGUCCUCGGAGUAGAUGUGAAAAAUGUGGCAGAAUUAAAGAAUAAGCAGAGAUUCUUCGUAUCUAGCACUGUAAGCUUGCUCGAUGUAGAGUGAAACAAAGGGACAUUGCAUAGAAUUUGUACCUAUAUGAAGUUCACGAUGGCCGGGAGCAAUCCGCGCCCCAUGACCUCAACUUAAGUGCAUCACCGUAUCAAUAAUCAGUUCUUCCACAAGUGGAAUUGAUACGCAAUUUAUGCCCGAAUUGUCCUCUAUUCACCUUUCACUUGGGGACGGUUUUCCAUGAAUCUCUUCCAGCUCCUCGAGCCUGUUAUUGAGGGCUCUUCUAAGUGAGGCCAUCUGUAUAUGAUCGUUUGCUUCUGGAAAUCGGUUUAUGGAGACCUUGAAGUUCAGCCUAUGAAUUUUGCUGUACACUAGACGGGUCCUGUUGCCGUACUGCGAACACUUAUGUGAGGUUUCAAAUGUUCUCGCCUUCCUCUCAUGGUGCAGCAGAGCAACAAAUGUCAAAGGAAUUGGAAGAGACAGUUCCACAGCCUCCUGUCACAAUGAAUGGUCUUUCUCAUCAGGAUGAUUCUCCAAUGAGCGUGAUGAACUGCAGGAAUAAGUAAGAAACUCGAUUCUUGAGAUGUUUCUGUCUCAUAUCGUUUACUUUUUCUCCAUUGCGUCGAACAUAGUACCUACUCUAGUGAUUAGCUUAACUUUUCAUUUCAAUCUGAAAGCUACUUACCUACAUUUAUAGGAUUCUUAAUAUAAAUUACCGGCUUGUGCACACUAUCUUACUUGGCGAAUUCUGUCAUCUGCACUAGUUUAAAUACAUGCAUCAUUCGAGAGCGCAAGUGCCUUUGAUGGCUUAUGGCCUGAGGCAUGGCGUAAUUGUUUUUUUGCCUCGUCAAAGUGUUGCUUCAGAGGACCUGAAUAUUCUUUUGAAAGUGAUGCUUCAGAGGACCGGAAUAUUCUUUUGAUAGGAAUCGUCUGUUUAGAUGAUCAUAAUUGCUAUCAUUGGUAGAACACACUACCAAUAACAACAUGAUAGUCGCUGUGUGCAUUCUAGUCGAACAACGUAGUUUCAACUUUGGGUUGCGAUGCUAACUGUGCUCGCACUUGUGGUUCUAAAAUGUUGAUGAACAGAGCUGAAUCUGACAAGCUACUAGCCAUUCCUGUCGGUUUUGUUGGAUCAGAAGAGGUGGUAAGGUCUGCUCCACAUCUUGUACCUGGCGGUAAGCUUGCUUGUCCUUCAGUGGAAGAACAAGGAAUGAGAAUAAAUGCUGCAUUAGACACUGCACAUGCACCAAUUUCUCAUCUCUCGAACCUCAUUGCCAACGGUCACCGGGCUGCAAACUUCAGGGGACCUUUCCAACCAUCAGACUUUUAAGGCUCGAAGUUUGAGCCACUUGGAUUCAUACCCUAUCCCUUACUUUCUCUGAAGGUAUUUAUGAUAUUUAACACUUAGCUCGACAUUCUGCGUUGUCGAUUGUACUUGGUUUGGACUACCUACUGGUGAAUCUCUUCAUGUAAAGGUUUGGGUUGGAAUAUUACUUGUCAGCAUAGUUUCAUAGACACGGUAAUUCUGUUCUUUUACCCAUCAGUGCAUUCGACUCGUGGUGCAACAAAUCUGAAAAAAGCUUUUAAUAUGCUAUUCGAGAGUCAGCUUUCAGCAGUGAUCUUGAACAAUUUCGUGUUCUCCAAACCGAGACUUGUUUAGAGUCAUUGAAAGCCUUCAAUUUAUGACGUUGUACUAGGAAGGUCCUUUCUGCUUUAUAUGUUUCUAGAUACUUUAAAAACCAUCUAAAGUAAUUGAAAAGACCAUGCGCAAAAAGUUAAUUGCUGUUGUACUUGGCGAGGUGACCCAACUUCUCUAUGUAUUCUUACUCCUGAAGAAUGGCGUUGUUUGUAGCUUCCAUUCAGGAGUACCUUGCUAAUUCGGCAUCAGGUCAAGUGUCACGCCCCGAACCCCGAGAUACGUGAACAACCCGCCAUGGCAAUGUAAAUGCGACAUUCCCAGAUAGUGUCGCCGACCCCAUUCAAUUAUUAUGCGCAUGCUGAACGUACUAAGAAACCUCUGACAAAACUUACGGGAUAGGACAGCAGGAAAAAUCAAUUCAAAAACAAACCAACAUACUUUCAUAUAUCAUCUUUCCAGAGUUUACAUACACCAACAGGAUCAGAGACUAUAUGCACCAAAAAUGGGUCAAAGUUCAUGUGCAUCAAAAAGGGUCAAUCUGCACAACAGGGAUCGGUCCACCAAAAAGAGGGACGGCCCUAUGACUACUAGUCGGACUCGUUCGUCGAUCCCACAUCUUCCACAUCUGACUGCACUGGGUCCAGGGACGAUGGUUGUCCACCCUACAUUAGAAAGGUCAGCUACACCUUCACCCAAAUAGCAUCCACCACAACAAGUGGAAUAUCAAAAAUUAACACGAAGAAAAAAGUACAGCGUUAAGCCAAGAGGAUUCACACGAAACUCCAAUUAUCAUGAAUGCCAAACGACAUCCAUUGUCAUUUAUAGCAUAUGGACCUAAGAAUUUUAAACGAAAACACCANNNNNNNNNNNNNNNNNNNNNNNNNNNNNNNNNNNNNNNNNNNNNNNNNNNNNNNNNNNNNNNNNNNNNNNNNNNNNNNNNNNNNNNNNNNNNNNNNNNNNNNNNNNNNNNNNNNNNNNNNNNNNNNNNNNNNNNNNNNNNNNNNNNNNNNNNNNNNNNNNNNNNNNNNNNNNNNNNNNNNNNNNNNNNNNNNNNNNNNNNNNNNNNNNNNNNNNNNNNNNNNNNNNNNNNNNNNNNNNNNNNNNNNNNNNNNNNNNNNNNNNNNNNNNNNNNNNNNNNNNNNNNNNNNNNNNNNNUACGGACCUGUAAUAUUUUCCCCACAACGGGGGGGAGACCAUUAUCUCAGUAAGUUCACCCUCUGAAACCCCUAUUAGAAAGAAAAAUACGCCCAAGAGUGGGUCUACCCACACAUCAUAAAAGACUUAUCUCGUCUUAUUUCCUUCCAUGCAGGUUAGUACAGUUCAUAUCACUUAAUCACAGCUAGUAAUAAGAACUUAAAUCAUUGAAAUGCAAUCAAUUUCACAUAAUGCACAAUCACAGCAAGAGUUCCAAAUCAUUAUUCACCGCCACACAAGGGCAUAGCCAACUUGCAGUUUAACUAUCUACUGACAUUAAUGCCCAGGCAUCGCCUCCCCCCUUGGACCGCGGCUUCAUCACCACAUUGACGGCAUUCCCGAAGGAGCAUGGGUCCCAGUUGGCCUAGCCUCUACUGCGACCCGAGCCACGUCACUCUGUUAACGGCGUUUCUAGAAGAAUAAAGGUCCAGUUGGCCUAGUCACUACUACGACCGAGUCUUUUAACCAGCACACGACAAUUCAAUACUAAUCCCUGGAUACUUCACAUUUCACUCACAUACUCCAAUUACAAUAUUAACCCUUAAAAAUCCAAUUUCGGUGCCAAACCUGACACUUGAGAUUUUCUGAAUAAAAUCCCUAUUUUUUUUCACAAUCAACACUCAAUUUGUGUUAUCCGCUCAUUAAAUUCAAAUUCUAAAUACACAACAGCGAUCAGCACGAAAUUCUGAGCAAUUGAUGUCAAAAAUAAUUUUUCGAAUUUUUUUAAAUAAUAAUAUUUUAAUAAUUUUCAGAAUAUAAUAUAUUAUUAAAUAAUCCAAUAAUUUUGAAGCAUUUAUUUAAAUCAGAAAUAAAUUCCUUUAAGUCACAUCAAGGCUUAUAUUAAAAUAAACAUACUUAACUUUAAACUAAACACACUUUAACUUAAUUAAACACUUUAAUCUAAUCCACAACUAAAUAAACUAAUCUAACCACCUAAUCUCAAUCAACAUAAGCUAAACACGCUUAAGGCAUCAUUAACCCUUUAAUCAAGAUUUAGUGAGCUAAACUCACAGAAAUCGCUUUCCGACGAGUCCCCGGCGAAGAGCACGAUGAUGUUGACGACAAAUCUACACGGAGCAACACUAAAUGAGGACCGGAAGGCACCCAAAACGGCCCUCAAAGAUCCGGACUCGAGCUGGAACUCCGGUUGCUGUUUGGGGUCGGAUGGAGGCGGCUUGGCGGUCGGUUAGGCGCGAAACCGGCGGAGAGGGGCUGCGGCAGCUCGGGCAACGACCGGCGGUGGCUCGGGCGGUCUUGGCUAGCUCCGACAGUGGUUGGCGAACGGUGAGCAGCGGCUGGUGGCUUCGGACGACAACGCUGGACGGAGGACGAAGGCGGAACAGCUUGCACGCGGGACAGCGCGCGCGCGGUCGUGCGCGGAUGAGUGGCGACGGUGAACUCCGGCAACGAAUGGCUAGCGGUAACGAGCGAGAGGGCGAAGGGCAGUCGGCUAGCCUGGUCCGGUCGCUCUCUCUCCCCCCCCCCCCCAACUCGUUGAUUUCUGGAGUUUUAAUUAGCCUUGAUACGGUGAUGGGGAGAUGUAUGCGAGGAGACGUGAGAAAGAUGUUCAGUACCAGUUUCUAAAUAUGAAAAAUGGAUUCUUGCUAAGGUGGAAGCUCCACUACCUGUGAUGAANNNNNNNNNNNNNNNNNNNNNNNNNNNNNNNNNNNNNNNNNNNNNNNNNNNNNNNNNNNNNNNNNNNNNNNNNNNNNNNNNNNNNNNNNNNNNNNNNNNNCACAUUUGCACCCUCCAUAUGUCACCACCCUAGCCAAUCUUGCCCCACGCCAUGACAUCACUUGUGAUGUCACAAUCCACUAACUCCAACCUCCCACAACCUUAGUCCAAUAGAUUCAAUUUCAUUUUCCGCCAGGGCAUAGAAUCUUGUAUAACAACUUCUUCAAUUCCGCUUGAUUCUCUUCCAAUUUAAUCAAAUUGAAGUCCAUAAAAUUAAUCCAAUGUUCCUAAUAAGAUUUGUGACACACCAUGACUUCCAAUUUCAGAAUUCGAUCUCACUUUCACGGUUAAUUUCAUUUUGGCACGAUACUAGCGCGUCUUAGUCUAUUGGGCAGCUUUUAGAAAUUUUAAUGCAUUUGACCUGUAGUUGAUCAAUUCAAGCCGCAAUGUACAUCUUUGACACAUUGAUGACUUUCAGUUGUCGGGGUAAUCUCAAGGUUUCAAAUAUGGGCACAGAGUACCAAAUCGACAGAAAAGUCGGUCUAAUGCCGAUUGACAAGAAUUGUGUGAUCUGGUGGAAUCACCCACACUUGAUCACAUGCCUCUGUCGAGUCAACCUAUCUCCAGUCUCUAAUCGAUUUUUAUUUGUGCCGUAAUGACCCUUGCAGAUUAGCUCGGUCGAAAGGUCGCUUCUUGGUCAAAUUCUCGAGUUUGAUGCAUUAGAAUCUCUUAACGGCUUCACCUGAUAAAUUAGUUUUCACAUGAGUGGCCAACUCAAGGAAAAGAACUAUUUGCGUGCCAACGAAAUGCCUGUCUCAAUUAUUGAAAAUAGGAUUGAAAAAUCAGGAUGGCACAACUCUUCUCCUCUUAUAAAAAUUUCGUUCUCGAAAUUUAAACCAUUACACUUCUUAAGCAAAAAGGUGGGGGUACAAUUGUCUCAUCGAAUCUUCGAUUUCCCAAGUUGCUCCUUCAGUAUCGUGGUGUUGCUAGACCACUUGACCAACGGGAUGGUCUUGGUGCGCAGAACCUGCUCCUUGCGAUCGACGAUCUGAAUCGGGCUUUCAACGUACGACACCUUGUCGUUCACAUCUAAUUCCUCAAAAUUUAGAACGUGUGUCGGAUCAGGUUCAUACUUCCUUAACAUCGACACGUGAAAGACAUCAUGCACUUGUGCUAACCUCGGCGGUAGUGCAAGACGAUACGCUAGAGUCCCUAUUCUUUCCAAAAUCUCAAAGGGACCUACGUACCUCAGACUCAGUUUCCCCUUUUUGCCAAAGCGGGAAGUACCUCUCAUUGGUGACACCUUCAAAAAGACAUGCUCACCAACUUAGAACUCCAAUGGCCUUCGACGCUUAUCUGCAUAACUCUUUUGGCGGCUCUGAGCAGUCUUUAAUCUGUUUCUGAUAACUGCAACUGCCUCCACUGAAUGCUGAACCAACUCUGGACCGGUGAUCUUUCUUUCCCCGACUUCAUCCAAACAUACUGGCGUUCUGCACGCUCUGCCAUACAACGCUUCAAAAAGGGUCAUUUGAAUACUCUGCUGAUAACUGUUGUUGUAGGCAAACUCGACUAGAUGAAGCUGUUCCUCCCAGCUUCCUUUGAAGUCCAAGACGCAAGCUCGCAGCAUGUCUUCGAGAGUCUGAAUUGUCCUCUCAGAUUGGCCAUCAGUCUGCGGAUGAUAGGCCGUACUAUACUGUAGCUUCGUUCCUAAAGCGGAUGGCAAGCUCUUCCAAAAAACGGCGGUGAACCUCGGGUCCCUAUCUGACGUAAUCGUGACCGAGACCCCAUGCAUAUGAACCACCUAACGUAGAUACAGAUCUGCGAGUCUAUCCAAACUCAAGUCCUUUCGCACUGCCAUGAAGUGAACCGACUUUGUCAGUCUGUCAACUACUACCCAAAUCGAAUCAUUUCCUCUCUGGCUCCUUGGUAGUCCCGUCACGAAGUCCAUCGUGAUAUGCUCCCAUUUCCAUUAUAGGAUCUCAAGGGGUUGCAGAAGUCCUCCCGGUUUGCAUUGCUGAGCCUUCACCUGCUGACACGUCAAACACUUGGUGACAUGCUUGGCGAUGUCCGCCUUCAUGCCACACCACCAGUAAUGUUGACGUAGAUUUUGAUACAUCUUGGUACUACCAGGAUGAAUGCUGUAACUGCUACGAUGUGCUUCUGAUAAAAUCUCCUCUCUAAGCUUCACAUCGUUAGGUACAACCAAUCGUCCUUGGAACCUCAAUGUUCCAUCCUUAGAAAUCUGAAAGUCAGCUUUCUUUUUCUCUGCAUCCUCUUGCAGGAUUUUCUGAACAUUUGAAUCUAUCUGCUGAAGUGUUCUGAUUCUAACCUGCACUUCCGACUCAAUUCUAAGGGUGGCCAUAAGACUCGAAAUGUGGCCUACCUCACAUUUGAAAUCUGAAUCUCGUGCUCUCUCAAUUAGACCCCAUUCUUUGAGUACCAUUUGAGCAACUGAAGACUUCCUACUCAGUGCAUCAGCGACCUUGUUCGCCUUUCCGAGGUGAUACAAAAUCUCACAGUCAUAGUCCUUUAAGAGCUCUAUCCAUUGACGUUGUCUCAUAUUCAACUCCUUCUGAGAGAAUAAGUACUUGAGGCUCUGAUGGUCAGUGAAAAUCUGGAAUCUUUCUCCGCACAAAUAAUGCCUUAAAAUCUUCAGGGCAAAGAUGAUCGCUGCAAGCUCUAAGUCAUGCGUCGGAUAAUUCAACUCGUGAGGUCUCAACUAACGGGACGCAUAUGCAACUACCCUACCAUGCUGCAUCAAUACGCAACCCAAUCCUUUAAACGACGCAUCACUGUAGAUCUCAAACCCUCCUGGACCCGAUGGAAUAGGAAGCACAGGUGCGGUAGUUACUUGAAACUACUCUCGCACUUAUCUGACCACACAAACUUUUUUUCCUUCUUCAGUAGUCUCGUCAUCGGCGAUGCUAACACUGAAAACCCUUCUACAAACCGUCUGUAAUACCCUGCUAAACCCAGAAAACUUCUGAUCUCUGUUACUGUCGACGGUCUCGGCCAGUUGAUCACUACUUCAAUCUUGGCUGGGUCCACUGAGAUUCUUUCUCCAGAGAUGACAUGACCUAGGAAAGCCACACGAGUUAGCCAAAACUUGCACUUACUGAACUUGGCGUAUAGCUCGUGAUCUCUCAAAGUCUGAAGCACUAUCCUUGAAUGCCUUUCAUGAUCCUCAGUACUCCUUGAAUACACCAGGAUGUCGUCAAUGAAAACAAUUACGAACUGAUCCAAGUACUCUCUGAAUACGCAGUUCAUCAGAUCCAUGAAAGCAGCUGGGGCGUUCGUCAACCCAAAUGGCAUCACAGUAAACUCAUAAUGGCUCGAGUGCGAAACGCCGACUUCGAUAUGUCUUCCUUCUUGAUUCUUAGCUGAUGGUACCUUGUCCUCAAGUCGAUCUUAGAAAAUAUCGACGCUCCCUGAAGCUGAUCAAACAAGUCAUCGAUCCUCGACAAUGGAUACUUGUUUUUGAUCGCCACCUAAUUGAAUUGACGAUAGUCGAUGCACAAGCGCAAUGAGCCAUCCUUCUUCUUCACGAACAGAAUUGGUGCUCCCCAAUGUGAUGCACUAGGACGAAUAAAUCAUUUAUCCAACAACUCUUGCAUCUGUACCUUCAGUUCCUUAAGUUCUGACAAGGCCAUCCAGUAAAGAGCUUUAGAGAUUGGCUUGGUCCCGGGGGCUAACUCAAUCACGAACUCUAUCUCUCUCUCUGGCGGCAAACCUGGUAAUUCUUUCGGGAACACGUAUGGGAACUCUUGCACCAUUGCAAUAUCUUCAAUCUUCAACUCCUCCACUAUCGUGUCCACGACAGUCGCCAAGUAACCUUGGCAACCCUUGCCUAGCAAGCGAGUUGCUUCGAGUGAUGAGAUUAAGGAAACCGAGGGUCCUCCUUGACUCCUAAUAAAUUCGAAACUCUCACCCCCUAAUGGGUUAAACUGAAUCGCUUGGUGAGCCAGUCCAUGCCAAUUAUCACAUCAAAAUCAAACAUGGCUAGGACUAUCAAGUCUAUCCUCCCUUCUCGCUCACUAAUCAGUAACUUGCAACUAAGACAACCCACUGUAGCUAACACCUUAUGCUUCAACGGAGUAGAUAUGCUAAUCACAGACUCCAACAACUCAGGAAUUAAUUCUACCAACUUAACAUAUCUUUCAUCUAUAAAUGAAUGAGAAGCUCCAGGAUCAAAUAAAGCAUAAGCAGGUUGGUCGUUCAGUAAGACCAUACCUGUGAUCACAUUAGGCGCAUCCUCCGCCUGUCCUCUGGUGAUCGCAUAAGUCCUUCCUUGAGUUGGAGGUUGGUUCAAUCCACCAUGCGGCAUGAUCUGCGGCGCGAUUCCUCUAUUCUGACCCAACGAUGGCGGCGGCGGCAAUUGACGCUAUCCCAUCUGUUUCCUGAGGCAAUUCCUGGCUAUAUGACCCUGCUGGCCACACUCAUAACAGGCGCCCGUCCUAGGAGGACACGGGGCUGAACCAUGUCGUCUUCCAUAUAGACGACACACACCAUUUGGUCUCGGCGCUGGCUUUCCUGUCUCACCCUUCCUGUUGAGUGGAACAUGAUAUCUUCCUCCAGACAUCGAUCUCUUCCCAAACCGGUUACCUUCUCUAUUCGAAUUAAACUGCGACCCAGAUGUGGCAGCUCUCUAAUUCUAGUCUUUCUCAAUCAGCUGGGCCCGAUUAUAAAGGUCCUUGUACUCCUUUAGCUCUAAUGGUACCAACAAGCUCCUCACAUCAGGUCAGAACCCAUCUCUAAACCUUCGAGCUCGGUUUGACGGUCUUUGAACUAACUCGGGGGCAUACCGUGAUAGUUCAACGAACUUCACUUCAUACUGAUCGACUGUCAUUGUACCUUGACGAAGGCACUGAAACUCCACCAUCUUCACCUCUCUAGCACAAUCAGAAAAGUACUUCUCAUUGAAGACCUCAAGAAAAGCAUUCCACUCCGGAACUACACUUUCAGGGAACACUAUCCCUUUAUUAGUCUUCUGCCAUGUAGCUACGAUCCCCCUCAACUGAUAGGCUGCCAAAACGACAUUCUCUGCUUCAGUGCACAUUAGUAACUCAAAGGCAUUCUCUAACUCCUGAAUCCAUAGUGCUGUAGCUUCGGGAUCUCCUGCUCCCGUGAACGUCGGUGGAUUCAACCUCAUAAAAUAUUCUACCAACUUAUGCUUAGGCCUCCCAGCGGCCACAUUCUCAGGUGGAAUUUCAACAGGUUCCACUUAAGGUUCGACGAUCAGUACGGUGGCAGCAGGUGCGGCGGCAGGGGCGGCGGUAACUGCAACGGUAGCAGCAUUGGCGGCAUUAGCAGCAUUGGUGGUAGUGGCGGUAGCGACUGAAGCGGCGGCUUGCUGGUCCAAUCUGUCACCCAUCAACUCAAGCAUUUGCAUGAUUCCAACAAACCUCGGAUCCUCGGGGGCUACUGCAUCGUCUAUAGGCGAUCCUGCACCACUCGCACUGGCCUUAGCCUGUGCUUUUCCUAGGGCACCUCGGGCACCGACCCUCAUCGGUGACCCACCCCGACUGCUCUCUUCCUAACAGCUCUCGGCACUCGGUCACUCAAGCUACAUGCUCAAUAUAGAUGCCUAAUUGCAAAUUCCAAUACCACAUUAGAAUCUGAGUGACCUCACAAACAAGUUAACAAAUAGCUAACAAUCACUUGCAUCAGUAUAAUAAAAGCCUUUCCUACCAACUAUCCCAUGACUCCCACACACCUUAUUACUCUAUACAUGAACCAUGCUUUGAUACCACUUAAACGGGGUUGUCACGCCCCGAACCCUGAGACACAUGAACAACCCGCCAUGGUCAUGUAAAUGCAACAUUCCCAGGUAGUGUCGCCGACCCCAUUCAAUUAUUAUGCGCAUGCGGAACGUACUAAGAAACCCCUGACAAAACUUACAGGAUAAGACAGCAGGAAAAAUCAAUUCAAAAACAAACCAACAUACUUUCAUAUAUCAUCAUUCUAGAGUUUACAUACAACAACAGGAUCAGAGACUAUAUGCACCAAAAAUGGGUCAGAGUUCAUGUGCAUCAAAAAGGGUCAAUCUGCACAAUAGAGAUCAGUCCACCAAAAAGAGGAACGCCCUAUGACUACUAGUCGGACUCGUUCGUCGAUCCCACAUCUUCCACAUCUGAUUGCACUGGGUCCGGGGACGAUGGGUUGUCCACCCUACCAUCAGAAAUGUUAGCUACACCUUCACCUAAAAUAGUAUCCACCACAGCAAGUGGAAUUUCAAAACUAUAGAGUGGACCAAUCCUAAAGCCAUUAGCCCCAAAACGGAACCAUGCCUUAAACCUAUGCGGUACCUUGACAUCCUCAGUCUCCUGAAUUCAGACGGUGGUCCUGAUCAGCUCGUAAACCCAAUGGCUCCCAGGGUCAGGAAAACUGUGCACCUCCUCGACAAUAUGCACUAGGAUGCCAUUCUUCUCCGGAGGUCCUGCCAUCUACGGCCCUGUAAUAUUUUUCCCACAACGGGGUGAGACAUUGUCUCAACAAGUUCACCCCUCCUAAACCCCUAUUAAAAAGAAAAUACGCCCAAGAGUGGUCUAGCCACACAGCAAUAAAGACUUACCUCAACUUAUUUCCUUCCUGCAGGUUAGUACAAUUCAUAUCACUCAAUCACAUGUAGUAAUAAGAACUUAAAUCAUUGAAACACAAUCAAUUUCACAUAAUGCACAAUCACAGCAAGCGUUCCAAAUCAUUAUUCACUGCCACACAAUGGCAUAGCCAACUUGCAAUUCGACUAUCUACUGACAUUAAUGCUAGGCAUCGCCUCCCCCCUUGGAGCGCGGCUUCGUCACCACGUCAACGGCAUUCUCGAAGGAGCAUGGGUCUAGUUGGCCUAGCCUCUACUGCGACCCGAGCCACGUCACUCUGUUGACGGCGUUUCUAGAAGAAUAAAAGUCCAAUUGGCUUAGCCAUUACUGCGACCGAGUCUUUCAACCAGCACACGACAAUUCAAUACUAAUCUCUGGAUACUUUACAUUUCACUCACAUACUCCAAUUACAAUAUUAACCCUUAAAAAUCCAAUUUCGGUGCCAAACCUGACACUUGAGAUUUUCUGAAUAAAAUCCCUAUUUUUUUCACAAUCAACACUCAAUUUGCGUUAUCCGCUCAUUAAAUUCAAAUUCUAAAUACACAACAGCGAUCAGCACGAAAUUCUGAGCAAUUGAUGUCAAAAAUAAUUUUUCGAAUUUUUUAAAUAAUAAUAUUUUAAUAAUUUUCAGAAUAUAAUAUAUUAUUAAAUAAUCCAAUAAUUUCGAAGCAUUUAUUUAAAUCAGAAAUAAAUUCCUUUAAGUCACAUCAAGGCUUAUAUUAAAAUAAACCUACUUAACUUUAAACUAAACAUACUUUAACUUAAUUAAACACCUUAAUUUAAUCCACAACUAAAUAAACUAAUCUAACCACCUAAUCUCAAUCAACCUAAGCUAAACACACUUAAGGCAUCAUUAACCCUCUAAUCAAGAUUUAGUGAGCUAAACUCACCGGAAUCGCUUUCCGACGAGUCCUUGGCAAAGAGCACGACGAUGCCAACGACAAAUCUACACAGAGCAACACCAAAUGAGGACCGGAAGGCACCCAAAACGGCCCUCAAAGAUCCGGACUCAAGCUAGAACUCUGGCUACUGUUUGGGGUCGGAUGAAGGCGGCUUGGUGGUUGGUUGGGCGCGAAACCAGCGGAGAGGGGCUACGGCAGCUCGGGCAACGACCGGUGGUGGCUCGGGCGGUCUUGGCUAGCUCCGACGGUGGCUGGCAAAUGGCGAGAAGUAGCUGGUGGCUUCGGACGACAACGCUGGACGGAGGACGAAGGCGGAGCAGCUUGCACGCGGGACAGCGCGCUCGCGGUUGUGCGCGAAUGAGCAGCGAUGGUGAACUCCGGUGGCGAACGGCAAGCGGCAACGAGCGAGCGAGCGAAGGGCGAUCGGCUAGCCUAGUCCGGUCGCUCUCUCUCUCUCUCCUCCCCCCCCCCCCCCCAAAUUUCAAAUUCCAAGGCCCCUUGAAGAAAAUGAUGGAGACAAGGGGGAAGUGACAUCCCACCUUUUUGUGAUUCAAUCUCCACCCACCACGUGUCACCACCCUAGCCAAUGUUGCCCCACCCCAUGACAUCACUUGUGAUGUUACAAUCCACUAACUCCAACGUUCCACAACCUUAGUCCAAUAGGUUCAAUUUCAUUUUCUGUCGGGGCAUAGAAUCUUGUACAACAACUUCUUCAAUUCCACUUGAUUCUUUUCCAAUUGAAUCAAAUUGAAGUCCAUAAAAUUAAUCCAAUGUUCCUAAUAAGAUUUGUGACACACCAUGACCUCCAAUUUUAGAAUUCGAUCUCAAUUUCAUGGUUAAUUUCACUUUAGCACGGUACUAGCGCGUCCUGGUCUACCGAGCAGCUUUUAGAAAUUUGCAUGCAUUUGACCUGUGGUUGAUCAAUUCAAGCCACAAUGUACAUCUUUGACACAUUGGCAACUUUCGGUUAUCGGGGUAAUCUCAAGGUUUCAAAUACGGGCACAGGAUACCCAAUCGACAGAAAAGUCGGUCCAAUGCCGAUCGACAAGAAUUGUGCGAUCUGGUGGAAUCACCCACACCUGAUCACAUGUCUCUGUUGAGUUGACCUAUCUCCGGUCUCUAAUUGAUUUUUAUUUGUGUUGUAAUAACCCUUGCAGAUUAGCUCGGUCGAAAGGUCGUUUCCUGGUCAAAUUCUCGAGUCUGAUGCAUUAGAAUCUUUUAACGGCUUCACCUGAUAGACUAGUUUUCACAUGAGUGGCCGACUCGAGGAAAAGAAUUAUAUGCGUGCCAACAAAAUGCUUGUCUCAAUUAUUGAAAAUAGAAUUGGAAAAUCGGGAUGUCACAUCAAGGUUCACUGUCUGCAAUAUCUUAGUGAAGUGGAUAUCAGGCGUUCCAUAUCACAUCGGUGUCUGGAGGAAUGUUUGCUAAGCAAGAAAACUCAUGUGCAGGGGACAACGGUGAGGAAUAUAGUACUUGUUUGGAAGAAUGUAAGGCACCAUCUCAUGACUUAUCAUCCAGUGAAUGCACAAAUUCUUACUCAUUGAGAUAUUGUGCUCUUGUAAUACAUCACAUCCUCUAACAUGACAUCACGUGUUCAAUUUCUAUUCAUCGUAAAGGCAAAAAUUGAUAGCCACUCUGUCUAUCCUCUUUGACGUGCGCCAAUCGUUCAUCGGGUAGAUUAGGACCCAUCUAGAAACAAGAGGUCGAAGUCAGAGAUUGCUUGAGCAAGUAGCUGAUGUCAAGCUGGGGUUGAAGGGUGGGGGUGAGAGCUUUUGAUGGAAACGAGAGAGAUUCGUUGCUCAAAAUGCAAACAUUAACAUGAAGAAAAAAUUACAUUGUUAUGCCAAGAGGAUUCACACAAAACAAAAAUUAUAAUGAAUGCCAUACGACAUUCAUUGUCAUUUAUAAAACAUGGACAUAAUGAGUCUAAUAGAAAACACCGAUGCUAUAUGAAAAACAUAUAAAAGCUUCACAGAUUACAUUAUCAAUGAUGGUACAUGCUGAUAGUGUUAAUUAUAUUUCACAUCUCAUUUCUACAAGAGGAAAACAAUCACACAAUACAUGAUUUUGUAAACUCAUUGUCGUGGUCAAAUUGGUAACUGCUAGAAAUUAUCGGAGCACUUGACAAAGAUGAGACCAUUUCAAGUUCUAUCUCAUUGUUGUCAUCAUCAAUUGGUGCCUCUAUCGGAUAUAAAAUUGGUUUUGGAGGUAGUUGCAGUUUAUCGAUAUCUCCUUCAAGCAUAUCUAGAACUUUCCUCAUUGACGGCCGAUCCUUAGGGUUCAGCUGUACGCACCAUAGCGCAACGAUUAUCAUCUUCCUUGUUUCUCUUUCCUCUUCUAUGACUUCUACCCUCUCAACCUCCUUUUCUUUGCUGAAAUGAUCAUAAACCCACAAAGGAAAGUAAAUUUGACUUGAAUGCUCUGCAUGUGCAUUUAUAUUUCUCCUUCUACCGGCCAUUUCCAUUAACAUCAUCCCAAAACUGUAAACAUCGGCUUUAUAAGAAAUUCCACCAAUGUCUUUGUAGAAUAGCUCAGGCGCCAUAUAACCCAAGGUUCCUCUUGCUGCAGUCAACGGUACUAUGCUAUGACCGAUGGGAUAACGUCUUGCAAGUCCAAAGUCAGAAAUUUUCGGAGUGAAACUUUGGUCUAGGAGAAUGUUGUGAGGCUUGAUGUCAAAGUGAAGAAUUUGCAUAUCACAUCCCCGAUGUAGAUACUCUAUCCCUCUAGCUAUGCCAAGAGAGAUCUCAUGCAUUUUCUUAUAAUCAAGAGGAUCAUCACCAUCCUUAUUCAAAAUGUGUUUAUCCAAAGAGCCAUUCGGCAUGAAAUCAUAGACCAGAGCUUGUUUGGAGUAAUCGAAGCAAAAACCAACAAGUUGCACUACAUUGAUGUGGUGGAUCCUUCCAAUUGUGGCCACUUCACUAAUAAAAUCCUGGCCGUUAGAUUCUGGUUUGUUCAAAAUCUUAACCGCAACUUCAUUGCCACUUCUAAGGAUUCCUCUAUACACAGAGCCAUAUGCCCCCUCACCUAAUUUGCAUUUGAAUUUUUUUGUAAUCUUCUUGAUAUCCGAGUAAGAGUACCUUAUGGGCGAAAAGUUGUUGUGAACUUGUAGGAAUUCUUCGAUGUUUGCGUCGAUCGCCCGGUGCCUUCUCAUCCACUUAUAGAUUAGAAGUAUCAACACACAUGGAGCUCCAAGUAUGAAUUUUGCUGGGACGUAGUUGGCUACAUAGAAAUUGUCCAUAGAUUAGCGCCGUGCAAUAAUUUUUUUGUAAACAUAAUUGUUUUUAAUCAGAGUGCUUCUUGAGAUCAUCAUAGUUGUGAGGAGAAAAGGCCCAGCAGUCAUACCCAAGAAAAAGGCGAGGUGCCGACCUACAGGUGCCGCGUACCAAUGCUUGGUCCACGCAGAAUGAGGGGUGCCUGCAACAGAUUAAUUAGAGUCGGUGAUCAAUCAAUGAAGAAUUAAAUUUAUCAUUUUAGCAGUUAAACAUAAAUAUAAUUUACUCUCCUUGACAGCGCUCAGAUCACAGUUAAUUCAAUUCACCUAGGGAAUCCAUGCCAUCGUAGCAUGAUUCAUAAGUUCACGUCUCGCUCCGCGUAAUUCUAAUUUACAAACGUCAUUCAAUACGCGUGCAGUUUAUUCAACCGCAUAACAAUAACAGUCAUGCAAGGGACACGAGCAACAAUUAAAUCAACCAUUUUUCCCCAAACAAAAAUGAAGUAACAAUGUCAAAUCCAGAAAAGCUCCAAGAUUCGUAAAAUAAACGAGAGCAGUGCAUGCCGACCCUACUAAGAAAUCUAUUUAAACUUUUCUACUUAAGUGAUGUGGCAAUUUUUUCUAUUAUGUUUUUAAUGAAACUAGUGUCUUAAUGUGUGGAUUUCAUUAAAAAUACCCAAUUAAAACCUGCCACGUCACUUGGUAAGUAAAUUUUGAUCAGGUCUCUUAGUGAAGCUAGCAUUUAAGGAAAGGAGGAGGAGGAAGAAGAGAAAGAGAAAAAACAGCUUAGGGGAACGUCGCUUACUGAAAUAAUAGCCGCACUUCUCCCUUCGGUUAAUAAAACUUAAGAAGUGACAUGGAAAGAACAUUUUCGCAGAAAUGUAGAGCGGAUAGGUGAGAGUGAAUCCCUCGACCAUCUUGCUGUGGAGGUCCUUGUAUGGUAAGCUCCCAUACUGAUCCCCUUUCCGCCAUGAGAUUUGAUCCGAUGUGAAUGCCAUCAUGGUUACGGUGCAAGAGUCCUUGAUAUCCCCUACUUGUAAUUUCCGUAGUACAGCGUAUGAGUACACCUUCAUUUGGGAAAAAUGAGUUGUGUCGGCAGAGUAUGCGUCCUCAAUACAUGGUUUGGCAUCAAUAUAAGAAGUAGAAGUAACAGGUUGUGAGCACUUCAUGAAGGCCACAGUGACAUUGCCAUAUGGAAAUCCAUAUAAAUCAGCAAAUGGAUUAGUGAUAUUGAAGUACGUCAAUGGGUAACGAGGAAGGGAUGAACAAUUACCCUUCUGCAGUCCAUCAUCAACCACUGUGAUGUUACCAGAGAAGUCAUUUUGGAGAAUAGAGAAAUAAUUAAUCGACUUCACAUAAUAUCGGCCAGCAUUUAAAUAUAGAACAGUGUGGUUAUUUUCACAAACUAGCUCAUACCAAGAGUGACCGCAGUCUUUUGGAUCGCUUUUCAAUCGAAAAGGAUAACUUAUGUUACGGAUCUCACCGCAAGAUGAAGAGGCACACAAGUGAUUCUUCUUCGCAUCGCAGCUCGUUCCUAACAAUAGCAGAACAUGCAAUAUGAGAAGUAAAACACGGAGCAUAAAUAUCGAGCUGAGAGAAAUAAUCAUCUCUUUAUCGUUUGAUCCGAUGCAAUGGAAGUUUUAGCUCACUUAGUGAUGCGAGGGAUGCUUAAUAAAGGGUUGGGAGUCAUCGGUCAUCGAAAUGUCCAAGUCAACCCUAAAACAAAGUCUAGCGAAGAAAAACUUAAAAAGUACGGCCCCGCAAAAACACGAUCUCGAGUGAUAGAUAGCUUUCACAUUCAUUAGGGAGGAAAUUUCUCUGCAUUUUCCAGAUAGGAUUUUUCUUGGCAAAUUAAUUCUCUCUAGAAAUUUAUUUUAGUAUCUUAAAAAAGAAUCGGUUUUAAUGUUUUGUACCCUAAACUCAAUCAAAAUCUAUUCAAACGAGGCAUCUAGCGUUCUAUUUUAUUUUCAAGGCCAAUAUUUCAUAAGUGUCGCUUCGUUAAAUUUUGAAGACGAAAAGGAAAAGGAUGAUGUAAUUCAUUGUAUAAGGUUUUUCAUUUUUGAGAAAAAAAAUUAGUAACCAAGAAAGAGGAUAAUGUUAAAUAAUGGGUACAUAGAUUUUAACUUUUAUAAUGUCGCUUUCCGCAAAAAUAGAAAGAAAAUAAGGAACGGGUGCUUCUUGCUUAUGGAUGAUGUGAAAGAUAGCAAUAUGGUAAAUUCUCAACUAGUGAUGGGACCGACACACCUUGAUUAGAAAUUCACUUGCGUUGUCGUGGAUCGACACACGCAAGGACUAUAGACGCAACAUUUGAAUUCACAAAAAUAAUGUGAUGUUUACUUAUUCACUAUGCUUAAAUUUUAAAAUCACUCUCUUGUAAUUGUGCUAUAAUUAUGAAUAUGACCGUCGUCUCUUUUCCAUAAUUGAAUCACUUAAUGAAUGUACAUACUGAUCUCAACGAAAAAGGCAAUACGAUCAUUUCUCAGCCAACGAUCAAUUGAUGUGGGUCUCGAUUAGAAAUUCACUUCCUUCGUCAUUCUUGACACGCGCAAAGACUAUAGGUGUAAUAUUUGCAUACACAAAAAUAAACUAAUAUGUACUUAUUCACUGUCAAUUGAAAUAUUAUUCUUGUGGAUCAGUCAAUCACUCGCCUAUAAAAUAAUCUCAUCUUUUUCUCCCAAUAAAUCGAACUGACCUAUUACAAUAUCCAAUUGGAACGUGCCACAUCACUCAGUAAGUAAAUUUUUAUACGAUCCCUCAGUAGAGCUAACAUUUAAGAAAAGGGUGAGGAUGAAGAAACAAACAAAGAAAGAACUGGGAAAGUGAGCUUUCGGGAAUCCUGGUGUCUGCACCUCUCCCUUUGGUAUUCAAAACCUAAGUAGCAAAACUCGAAACUUGUUGGUGGCAAGAGUUUAUAAUAGGAGAUAGUGAAUCCCUCGACCAUCAUGUCGUGGAGGUCCUUAUACAGUGAGCUUGCACGAUUAUACCGGUCCUUUUUCCACUCCGGAAUACAAUGCGGUAUUAAAGCCUUUAUGGUUAUGGUGUAAGUAUCCUUGAUGUCCCCUACUCGGAGAUUAAACUCAUGUACAGCGUAUGAGUACACCUUUAUCGGAAGGAUAUGCUCCCUCAAUACAUGGUUCAGUAUUGACUUACGAAGUAGAAGCAAGGGGCUGUGAGCACUUCAUGAAGACCACCGGCACAGCUAACGAAUCGUAUGGAUCAUUAUCACUAAGUUGGAGAGCGCCAAUGAGUAAUGAGGGAGGGAUGAACAAUUACUUUUUUUGCAGUCGAUCAUCAACCACCGCUAUUUCGCCAUUGAAAAAACAUUUGCUGAGAUUGGAAUGGUACUAAAUUGAUUUCACAUAAUAUUGGCCGACAUAUAGAUAUAGAACAAUGCGAUUAUUUUCACAAGCUAGCUUAUGUUCAUAGCGUCCGCAUCCUUUUGGGUUGCCUUUCAAUCGAAAGUGAUAUGUCACGAACCUCGCCACAAGAUAAAGUGGCAGACAAGUAAUUUUUCUAUGCACCACAACUCGUCCCAAUAGCAGCAGAAGGGAAAAGUACCAAAAAAGUCCUAAACCUAUUGCAUUGGUACAAAUUCAGUUCUAAAAUUUUCAAUUUGACCAAUUUAGUCAUAAACCUUUUGAUAUUGGUACCAAUUCAAUCCUUCCGGCCAAUUUUGGCCAGCCGGCACUGAUGUGGACGUCGGCCGGUGGCCGGACACUGACAUGGAAUUUUUUUUAUAUUUUAGUUUUUUCGAAUUUUUUUAUUUUUUUAUUUUUUUAUUUUUUCCUUUUUCCUUUUUCCUUUUUCCUUUUUCCUUUUCUUUUCCGGUAGUGGUUGGCGAGCCUCCGGUGAGGCUCGCCGCCACUAGGCGAGGGCCGCGAAGCCCUCGCCUGGACUCUCCGUGGGCCGGCGGCAAGGCCAUGGCGGCUAUCGUCAUGGUAGAGGCGAGGGCACGUCGGUGAGGGUCGCGGCCCUCGCUCGGCCUUGCCUAGGGCCACGGGUGAGGUCGAGUGAGGACUGCGACCCUCGCCGGUGGCUGGCGAGGGCUUUGCGGCCCUCACCUCCGCCUAGCGAUGGCCCCCAUGGCCUCGCCGGCAGCCCUGGGAGAGGCUGGGCGAGGGCCGCAACCCUUGUCGGCUGCAGGCGAGGGCUUCGCGGCCCUCGCCCAGUGGCCGGUGAGCCUCACUGGAGGCUCGCUAGCCACUGUUGGAAAAGAAAAGGAAAAAGGCAAAAAAACUUUAAAAAAAUAAAAAAAAAUCGAAAAAAAAAAAUCAUAAAAAUUGCCACAUCAACGUCCAGCCACCAGCCGACGUCCACGUCAGUGCCGGCCGGCCAAAAUUGGCCAGAAGGACUGAAUUGGUACCAAUAUCAAAAGGUUUAGGAUUAAAUUGGUCCAAUUGAAAAGUUGAGGAUUGAAUUGGUACCAAUGCAAUAUGUUUAUAACUUUUUUGGUACUUUUCCCGCAACAGAACAUACAAUAUGAAAAGCAAAACAUUGAACAUGCUUAUGGAGCUUAGAGACUUGAUCAUCUCUCUAUUGUUUGAUCUGAUGCAAUGAAAGUUUUUGCUAAUCGGUAAUGUGAUGGAGGCCUAGUAAUAUGAAUGGAAAGAGCCUGGAGUCCUUGGUCAUACAAAUGUCUAAGUCAACAAAUAAAGCAAAGUCUAGUGAAGAAAAAGUGGAUAUCGCAUGNNNNNNNNNNNNNNNNNNNNNNNNNNNNNNNNNNNNNNNNNNNNNNNNNNNNNNNNNNNNNNNNNNNNNNNNNNNNNNNNNNNNNNNNNNNNNNNNNNNNNNNNNNNNNNNNNNNNNNNNNNNNNNNNNNNNNNNNNNNNNNNNNNNNNNNNNNNNNNNNNNNNNNNNNNNNNNNNNNNNNNNNNNNNNNNNNNNNNNNNNNNNNNNNNNNNNNNNNNNNNNNNNNNNNNNNNNNNNNNNNNNNNNNNNNNNNNNNNNNNNNNNNNNNNNNNNNNNNNNNNNNNNNNNNNNNNNNNNNNNNNNNNNNNNNNNNNNNNNNNNNNNNNNNNNNNNNNNNNNNNNNNNNNNNNNNNNNNNNNNNNNNNNNNNNNNNNNNNNNNNNNNNNNNNNNNNNNNNNNNNNNNNNNNNNNNNNNNNNNNNNNNNNNNNNNNNNNNNNNNNNNNNNNNNNNNNNNNNNNNNNNNNNNNNNNNNNNNNNNNNNNNNNNNNNNNNNNNNNNNNNNNNNNNNNNNNNNNNNNNNNNNNNNNNNNNNNNNNNNNNNNNNNNNNNNNNNNNNNNNNNNNNGACGAAAAGGAAAAGAUCUCAUAUUCAUCAUUUAAGCUUUUAUUUUGACAAAAAACAGAAAUUGAUAACAAAAAUAGACUAUGAACAAGAAUAUUAACUUGUAUAAUGUUGCCUUUGGCAAAAGUAAAAGGAAAAUAAGAAAUAAGUGUUUCUUGGAUGGUGUAACACGUUAUGAAAGAGAGAAAGUAAUACGACAAUUUUUAGUGGUGAACUGACGCGUCUUAACUAGAACCUCACUAACUUCGUUGUCACGCAAAGACUAGAGAUGCAAAUUUCCAAGUCAACCAUCAACACAAAGUCUAGUGAAGAAAAAGUGGGUCUCAUGUGGAAAUUGCAGCCCUAGCAGUCAAGGCGACAAAAACACGGUAUUGGAAUUAUUUAUGCAUGGCUUUCACAUUGAUUAGAAAAGAAACUUCUCUGCAGUUUCCAUAUUGACUUUUCUUAGUACCAUAAAUAAGAAUCGAUUUGAAUGUUUUGUAUUCUAAAAUGAAUCAAAAAUCCUUUCGAGUGAGGCAUUGGCAUUGUAUUUUCUUUUCAAGGCUAAUAUUCCAUGAAUGUCGCUUAUUAAAUUGUGAAGACAAAAAGGAAAUACAUAUCGUAUUUUAUUGUAUGAGCUUUUUCAUUUUUAACAAAAAACAAAAAUUGGUAACAAAAAUGGCUUAUUGAUGGGAAUAUUAACUUGUAUAAUGUUGCUUUUGACAAAAGUAAAAGGAAAAUAUGGAGUAAGUGCUUCUUGGAUGGUGGAAUAGGUUAUGAGAGAAAGAAAGCAAUGCAAUAAUUGCUAUCGAGGGACCGACGCACCUAGAAAGCAAUACAAUAAUUGCUAUUGAGGGACCGACCCACCUAGAAAGCAAUACAAUAAGUGCUAUCAAGGGACCGACGCGCCUUGACUAGAACCUCGCUAACUUCGUCGUCACGCAAAGACUAUAGAUGCAAAAUUUGAUUUUAGAAAUAUAAAGCGAUGUUUAUUUAUUUACUGUCAACUUUAAUAUUUCAAUCACUCUCCCACCAUUGUGCUAGAUCUAUGAACAAUAUUAUUAUCUCUUUCCUAUAACAGAACCACUUAAUGAUUGAACUGAUCAAUUUCAAUAAUACUGUCAUUUUGUCAAAUGAAAGAAAUGUUGUUGCCCUUCAUCAUCAUCUUCUAUAUCUGAAUGUGUGAUAUUGAAGGUGUCAUGUAAGCUCAAAUGAGACUAUCGGUCAAUUUACUAUUGUGAACAUAAUAUCAAAGAGUUUCACAUAGAAAUUCUUCUCAGCGAAACAGACACGCCUUCAAAUAGUUGUAAUUAGCACUUACCAUAUAUUUUUCAAGCUAAUGCGUACACCUAAGUAUAAUUGAAGAGACUGAAAUGGAUUUUCCAUAUAAUACAGAAAACUUUAUUUUAACUGACGCAUCCAAUGACGUUUUAACUGCACAUGUUCUCGACCAAUAACAAAAAAAAAAAAAAAAUGCACAUGUUCUAUUUUUUGUAGUAAUAUUAUUACUGAUUACGUUUUUAGUUUUCUUUUUAUUGCAUAUUACCCUUUCUGGAAAUUGAUUUGUUCCGCGAGCAGUUCCACACGCAAUGAUACCUUAGUUGCUUUCUAUAUCAUCAUUAAAUAUUCAGCAAUGAUUAGUCAAUUUUUUAAGUAGAAAAUCUCUUGGUGAAAGUAUCCUAUAUUAUCUCUUGCACGUACACCAAAAGAUUUGGACAUAAAUUAUGCAAAUUGAUGUAUCAACUAUCAAUUCAUUCAGUGCCAUAAAAUACUAUAGAAAAAUAAUAAUCUGUUUCGAAGUGUAAAAUCUUUCAUUUUUGACAAAACUGAAAUUUGUAACUGAAAAGAUUAAUAACGGCACUAAAGACUAUCGUUGCACGUUACAAGAAAAGAAUAAAGGCCAUACAAUAAUUUCUCAACCAGCAAUAGAUGGACGCGAGCCUCAAUUUGAAAGUCACUUGCUUCAUAAUUGUCCGACACGCACGAAGACUAUAGGUGCAAUAUUCGCAUUCAUAAAAAUAAAGCAAUACGCGCUUUUUCACUAGCAAUUGAGAGUAUUAUUCUUGUAAAUCAAUCACUCACUCUCCUGUAAAAUAACCCCAUCUCUUUCCCGCAAUAAAACUGAAUGAACUGACAGAUCUCAACAAUAACGUCGUUUUAUCAAACAAAAGAUGCAGUUACCUGCUUCAUAAUCAUUUUCCAUCUCCGAAUGUGUGGUAUUGCAAGUGUCAUGUAAGCUCAAAUGGGACUACAGGGAAGAGUGCUGCCAUUUUCAUUCUCUGUUGAUAGCUACUUGAAUCUGCUCAAGACUCCUCCCUUUCGUUUCAAGGACCACCGUGAUCACGAACACCAUCCCUGUGGCGUUAAUCACCGCAUAAAGAAGGAAGGUACCUGUGAAGCAAGCGAGCAGAGUUAUUUGCUUUUGACAAGUUUUGCGGAAGCAUAUUCUGACAUUUUUCUCAUGGGAAGAAUGCUUUAGUAUGUACUACCUGUCUAUUAAUCAUUCUGCAGAAAGACCCGCUUAGCUUUUUUCUUUUUUAAAUGAAACGUCGGCUCAAUUUUGGUGAUAUUCAAAUCUAGGUAGAAGUUGCUGUAAAUGCGUUGAUUGAAAUAAAUGGUCUGAAUAUGCAUUCAAGAGCAUGAAGAACGGAGUGACACACCUCCAGCUCCAAAUAGGAUUGAAAUGUUCAGGAAAAGCUAAGUCUCAAGUCUGUAGUUUGGUCGAAUUCGCGCAACAGUUCAAAGAGUGUUUUCAGCAGAGUCGUACCGUAGGAGCUCCAGCUCAUUAAGUAGUUGAAAGUGUAGGAAACUGCCCAAGCGCCGAACCAGUUCACUAGUGUUGCGAAACCUCCAGCUACUCCUUUGAUAUUAAUGGGGAAAAUCUGAACUCCAGCACACAUUACAUGAUUGGCAAAAGAAUUUUGAAACUCUUGUACUAAUAACACUAGUUAUUAUUUUGAAAACAACCCUUUAAUUUGAUAAGCAUGAAACUUCGGGGGAUGCUUAGGAUUACCUCGGACAUCACGACCCAAGGAACCGCGCCCAUUCCAGCCGAAAAUGCUGCUAUGUAUAGCUGAGCAUUGGAAAAAACAGAACAGAAAAAUUUGUAGUAGGGAGUUGUUGCGGUGGCCAACUGGAUAGAGCCAGAAAGAGAUCAAGGCAGUUGAGAUUAUUACCAGAAUGCCGGUGACGGCAAGUAUCGGGACAGCAUCAGCUGCCAGAUCAUGAACCUGGCUCGGAAGAUCCUCAAAAAAUUACUGGUUGACAAGCAUUGCAAAGCAGAAGGAAGAUACUAGGACUGAUAGUAAUUACCUUUAGAAAGAAUGAAAGGGCAGUUACUAUGCAUCCCAGGACCAAUCCUGUCCCCAAGAUCUGCGAUUGAGAGAGAGAGAGAGAAGGUUAUGGGUCAAGUUGCAGAACUUGCGAAAGGGCAGAACCAGAAAAGCUUUGUUACUAUAGACAUGAUUUCUUAGCUUUCAUCUAUUUUACCAAGAGAAGGGGCUUUCUUCCAGCUCUAUCGACCAGUGCAGCGCCAAUAGCCGUGACAAUAACCUGCAAAAAUUUACUCUUUAAGCGUGACGAGUAUAAAACUAGAUCGNNNNNNNNNNNNNNNNNNNNNNNNNNNNNNNNNNNNNNNNNNNNNNNNNNNNNNNNNNNNNNNNNNNNNNNNNNNNNNNNNNNNNNNNNNNNNNNNNNNNNNNNNNNNNNNNNNNNNNNNNNNNNNNNNNNNNNNNNNNNNNNNNNNNNNNNNNNNNAAUUGCAUAAGUUAUGGUUCCAACGCUGGAGGAGAAACCUGAGGAGAUUGUACAAAUGCGAUUAUAAAGGCGAGACUAAUACCUUGCUUGUGAGAUUCAACACUAAAUUAUGUGAACAGCUCAUUCAGUGAUAAUUAAGUAGACCAAAAGCAUUCGACAUUGCGAAUUUUACUAACCCAUUUGAAUAUUAACUGGAUUAUAUAAAUUGGAACCCCUGCUUUGCUUUUUAUUUAGCUUUUCGUUCUGGAAUCUUAAAAUGCAAAGCAUACUUUAAUUUUUGUGGUGCCCAAGAGCUUCUUGCUAUGAACUGCAUACCUGCUUCCUCAAAAAUAUUGCUUGUAUAGAAACAGAUGCCAUUUAUCCCUCCGAACUGCUGGAUGACCAUCAAUCCAACACCAAUCUGGCCAAAAUUUAACAAAUUUGUCAGCAAAAAGAACAACAAUGGGAAAUAUCACUAAAAGUACAACUACCGCAUAUUCCCAAUCCACAGGGCAUUCCAAGAAAGCAACGAAGGAGGGACUUUAUUGGAUACAUAGCAGUAAAUACAGAGAGAAGAUUACGAUGACAGAGCUCAGAUAUCUUCUCUGAAAUAAAUCGAGAAUGCUGGCUUUCGGGAGCGGUUGAAGAGUUUCGAUGUACCUGUCAAGAAAAACAAAUUCGAUCAUUCUGUCAGUUAUUCGCACUUAUAAAGUUGAGGCACUACGAUGAAACGAGUAUAGACUUAAAACCUUUUACUUGUAUUUCAGCAGCCUCUUCAGAAAUGUCCGCAUCCUUUCCACGGAGUUUCUGCAGCGCAGCUUCAAACUCCUUUUCACGGCCCGUUUUCGCCUGCAUUUGGCAGAAUCCUAAAAUUCAUUCCAACAAUACAAAUCCCUCUCUUCCAACAAUUCAGAUAAGAAGAAUCUGGUGUUCAUCUUGAUUUGUUACCAGCCAUCUAGGAGACUCUGGAAUGAAAAACAGGCCGAACAGUAGGACUGCACAGGGGAUUAGACCUGCAUAAACUGCAGAUGUUCAAGAUGGUUUCAGACUUGGACUUUUCUAUACAACAUUGGCACUAAACUUGAAUUAGGCUACUUUUUCUGUUUUACCAAUUAAUGCCAAAACCCUCCAAGCUUAUACUGUCCCGAUUAUGAAGGAAACGGACACUCCAGCAACGAUCAUAAGCUGUGGAGAGAAGAGAACAUGUUAGGCCCAGUAGGUUCUGUAGGAUGUUCGUAUAUACACCAUCUUGCACUUGCAAGAGGGCAAAAUUUGCUACAAGCUAAGGCCUUUUGCCAAUAGCUCCAUGCUUGCAAUUCUAACCAAGAAUGUUCAUACAAAAUCUUUGCCUGUUUGACAGCAGUCAAAGCUCCACGGAGAUUUUUGGGUGUAAUUUCAGCUAUAAAUAUUGGUACCUGGACAUAAAUUAGAAAAAUAUUAACCAAUCUAAACCGAAGAGAGAGCCUCAUGUUGUCACGGUGAAUCGAGUCCAGCAUGUUGUCGUAGAACAGCUUGCUACAUCAAAUUUAUGUGGUACGAAGUGAGGAAUUACCACAUAGGAAAAGACUCCCAUUCCAUAUCCCGUGGCCAAUCUUCCGAUAUCCAGAGCCAGUGCUCCCUAGUUUACUCAAAAUUAAACAGAACAGAGAGUUGAUGAGACUUGAAGUUCUUAUGCAACUAAUCGAUCUUCAUGUAUGAUUAGGCUUGUAAAUAGGAUAUGGACACACCUCAGCAAAGUAAAUAGCAAGCCAUCCUGCUACACAAAGAGCGCUCGCUAUUCUCAUUGUCUGCAUUUUGAGGCAAAUGUUUUUACUGUCACGUCCUCCGUCCAUGAUAUGACUAAAUCCCAAAGCUAAAACUCUCAGAGUCUUGAACAACACUGUUCUGUUUUACAUUGUGAAAGACGCACUCAUUUGCUGCUUACCCACUUACGGCCAACAAAAUCAGCGAUUGGUCCUCCGGUAAUUGCACCAAUCAUUACACCGAAUGUCAGUAUGGAUCCAAAGACUGAAUACUGUUGAAAGACACAAAGUGUAACUGCAAAUCAGCUUGAGUUCAGUGAGAGCAAGAACUUCAGUUACCAUCUAGCUAACAACGCUAUAAGUCACCGAAUGUCCGAGAAUCUCAGUGGAAAGCUAUUCUGAACAAACCUAUCACUUCGAUCAGAAACCUGAAUGAUAUGCAGUCGCAAUUUUCAGCUGACGAUACCCAAUCUAAAUCUCCCCAUUUUUUGGUUUUCUUGUCCUUAGGUGUCCAACAAUGGAACUCGAUGUGAAAACUUGGUAUACAUUUCACUCGUUACAAUGCAGAAAGAAUAAGAUGUCUAGAGAAAGAAGUAUCUCUACCUCAAAGCCAACACCCUUAUUUUUGAGAGAGUCUCGUUUAUAAAGUUUUUGAUCAUAUAACUCGUCCAUAUUAUGGACCCGGAAUAUGAGCAGAUCUUUACUUUGAUUUUCUUGUAUACAGGCCCCUUCAGUGACAAGUCCAAUAUUGAAUCGAAGCAACGAACAAAGACAACGCGACAUGUGCUUCUCAACACUCGUAGGUAAAUUCGACAUACCUCAGCUGUAGAGAGACCAAGUUCCUCCACUAUAGCAUCCUGAGUUGGUGAUGAAUAACCUGCCUGAAAAAUCCAAUGAGAACAAUUUCUCUUUAGAUUCAAUUAAUCACAUCCUUUUCAUUUUAACCAUUACUAUUGGACCUGGACUUUUCAAAAAGAAAUUGCAUUUCCUACUUACGCAGGUCCCGAAUUCAUGGGAACCACAAACCGCAACGAAUGUGGUGAAAUAGACCAUCCACGGACGACCCUUAUCGGUUCCUUCAUCUUUGCCAGCUCAGUCCUUCUCUUGCGGCACGAGGAGACGCUCUCUUACUCCUUCUCUGUCCCCGGUUUCUUCAUUUUCAAUGUCCUCGUUAAUCGCCAUGCUUGCUCGCCUUACAAAAAUGCUCCUUCGUUCUCUAUCUGACUACGUACGAGGAACUAGCAAAUCUAUAAGCUCCAGAGAAGAUAAGUUCUCUUUCCAACGUGGCUACUCUGCUUGCUUUAUAUGGAUGACUCGAAAUGAGAAACCCCAAGUGCUAAUACGGAAACCCCAUCACCGAUCGGUUUAUACUCGCGGUUUCUAGGAGUCCUCACGGACCUCAGUCUUGCAAACUGGCAAGCAACUCCUUGCUUUUCUGACUCGCCCCCGUUAAUGGUAUUGGAAUCACCAAUGGAACAGAGUCUCCGAAUACAGCAGGAUCACAGGUGUAAGGGGCUGCAUCGCUCUUUAUGGGCAAGGAGUAAAACAUGGAACUGGACUUUCUCAAUGACACGGCUCUGGAUAAAGACAAAGUAACAACCACGGACAAAGUUCUAUCUUUUUGAGCCAGCCACCGGCUAGGAAAACCAGAGUGUUUUUCUAACCUGGAAAGUAAUUAAGUUCUGUCCACUUUUGCAUGGAGGCAUUGUUAUCUUCACCUUUAACCCACGUUUAUUGUGUAAGAAAGAUAAGAUCUCAAUUAAUAGUUUCUUAUCUCUUUGGUGCAAUAAGAAACUAUCAAGAAAAAGAACUGUUCUGCUAGAACAUUAUUUUUCCUUUGGGAAUUUUCUUGACCAAAACCCUUUUUUUCCCAAUUGGACGAUGGGCACAAGAUAAUUUCGGCCGGACCUUCUUCUGGGGACAAAUUAUCUUCCUUUUCUAUUUUUUAAAAGAACCACUGCAUAUGCCAACAAAAAGCAUGCAUAUAGCCUCCUUUGUGGUCAGUGACGCUUUUGAUGUCUGCUCAAAUGGUAAGACUAGAUAGCAAGAAUUUCAAAAAGGGAUGUUUUUCAUCUUUCCAUAGUGGCCAAUUUUGCGGAAAAUGGCAAUUGAUAGUGGCAAGAGGUGUACAGAAUUACUUUCUACCAAGGACGUCAUGUACUGCCGAGGCCCAUGAAUCUAAAGAAUUCAGCCACCAUGAAGCCAGCCGACGGGAAAGAGUUCACAGGCACAACGGAAUGGACCAUAAAGUUGCAGAGCACAUUGGCCAAAAAUAUCCAACCACCAUUCUCCAACUACUUUAUUCGUCCACAUUUGCUGCAUCUCCGUCUUCUUUCACUUCACGAUUCAGAGUAGGCCAACAAAAUCCAGCAAGAAUAUAUAGCUGCGGCCUGCUCGAGAAAAAGAAAAUGUCAAAAAUAUAUCUUACUCUUGAUCUAAUAGCCACUCACAUAUUUUCGUUUUGAUAAAUAUCAUUCACAUACUUCCAAGAAAAAUCCCACAUUGAGAACAUUAAUUUGCCCCUCCAUGUAAACUCAUUUUAGCAUCUUCCUUACGGUUUGAGUAGACUGCAAAAGUGAUUUUUGAAUGGUAGAAUUCAUGUAGAUAUUUUUCAUGUUCAAAAGAAGAGGUGAGUGAUCACAGGAUGAGAAAUAAGGUGUAUUUCGUUAUAUUUUUCUCAAAAAACUUAGACAAAACAAAUAUGCUAAUCUUAUAAGUACAUAGUGAGAUUUGAAUUUCAAAUGUAUUAGAAGAAAAAAGGCAGUAUAAAUGUCAUAACUUUUGUACAACAACCACUUAAAUACCAUAACUUUUUAUUCAAUCAUUUAAAUGUCAUAGACGAUGACUUAAGCGUUGUAAUUUUUCAUUAAUAAGGAAAUCCGACAUGACAUGGCACUUAUGGUAAACAUUAUUUAAAAAUUACAACACUCAAAUGAUCAAUUGAAAGUUAUGGCACUCAAGUAAAUAUAUAUAUAUAUAUAUUUUUUUUAAAGUCAUGACACUCAAGUAAUCGAAAAACAAUGUUAUGGCACUUAGGUGAGCACCGCACGAUAGUUAUGAUACUUGUGAUGUCCUUAUCUCAAUAUCUUAGUAUCUUCUUCCAUUCAUGACACCAAAUCCCAUAAAAUAUAAUAAAAAGCACACGGGAAAAAAAAAAAUUUAGCUAAUGUUACGUAAUUGUAAGUGUCUAAUUAAGUAGAGAUUAAUCAGGCUGAUUCAGGUUUUAGAGGCUGCCGGUCAUUUUUGCUUAACCCUUACUAAACAAAGCUAUGAACAACGAGCGAUUGUUUUAAGCUAGUGGCUCCGUUUAAGCAUCCAAUAAAAAUCAGCAAGAUUAUUUAGCACAACCCUUCUAAUAUAAGAAGUUUUAGGAACUCUUAUCAUCACCUUGAAGAAGGGUAGCUAGGCAAGCGUGAUUAAAACACCCAGUUCAAAGACAAAGCAGCCUUCCCUAAUUUAAAGGGAAGAUAGGUGGACGCAAUACAACUUGCCUCAUAUAUAUAUGACCCCAAAGGCAUGGACUAAAAUAAGCCAUUUGCGGGUCCCUCUUCUGAUAAGGUCAAUCCACUUGUUGGAAUGGAAUGAAUUUGAUUGAUAGAGAAGGUCUAGAUUGCCUGAGGGAGCGGAUAUAUCCUAAUUGCAGAAAUAAUAUAUUAAUUGUAAUAGAGCAUAUGCCACUUUCAUUGUGCAUGAUUGCAUCUAAUCUAAGAGAUCUGGACUCUGUUCUUUCUUUCUUUGUUUUUUUAUUUCCCCUCCAAUCUUCCAAUUUGUAUAGAAAAAUAUGAUCCUAUCAGCAAGAGGAACUUGAAAAAUCGUUCUGCCGGCCUUGCACUGACGAAACAAAAAUAAUAAAGAGUGAAAAGUGACGGAUUAUUACCAAAAUGAAAUUGACAAAAAGCUGAGAGGUUAGGUGAGGUGAGCUGGGAAAGAAAUUUAUGUAUGAAUUAGAUUGUAAAAUAACCUUAGUCUAAAUUCUCGAUAUUUCUUUUGCCAUAUGUUAUGAAAUGAAAAAUCUCUAUUUGGACAAGAAAUUUUUCUUUUCUUGAUGACUGUGGAUUAUAAUAAUACAAUUAUGCAUUACUAUAAGUUUUCACCAACCUGUUCAAUGAACAUGGCUUCAUCCAUAAGGAUACAUCCAAGGAUGCACAAGAAUCAGAUUUCAACCAAGUCCAGAGAACUAAACAAGGCCUGGUUUUCCUCUCUUUAGGUAGACAUCCUGAUUGUGUUGACAAUCUUAUCCACCAGGACAUGUAAUUCCCUAUUUUCAAGAGUACGAUGCCUAAGGAAACGAACAUUUGGUACUCUUCUUUCAUCCUGCUCUUAUAUUUUUACUAAACAAGACAGAUUGCCAUACGUAUAAAGAUGUAUAACUAGAGAAGAUCCAAGAGAAUAUACUAUUAAAGGAUCGACUUAUUAAGACAUGACAAAUGCAACUUGAGUUCAUUAUUGGAUCUACACCUUAUAAAUAAAAAUACAAAUAUAUAUUUCGUUACUUAUAAAUUCCUAUGUAGGCUUGAUAUGAAAAAAAAAAUUGUCCAGGCCAUUACUAUUUUAAUACCAUACACUUUUUAUGCGCAACAAAAGAAACAAAGAAAGAUUUGCAUAUAUUUCGAGAAAGAAAAUCUAAAGAUUUCGAUUUUGCCUGUACGGAUGAAACAACAUCUUUUAUUUAAUUUGAGAGAUUUUUGUUCUUAUCUUAUUAAUCAACAUCUUUGCUAGUGAAUACAACAUAUUAUUACAAUUUUCUUUUUUCUUGGACAGAAAAAAGAGCUUAGGCUCGAAACCAAAGAUAGUAUUACUUUUUAUGUAAUAUAGAUUAUAAAUUCUUUAUUUUAAGGAAGGGCAGGGGUGAAUCACCUAUAAUUAAUUUUUUUACCCUAGAUAUCAACAUAGAGUACAUAAAACAACUACUUGCCCCCUCUGGACUUUUGUGGUUCUGCACAUCGUAUAUAAAUCAAUUCAAUUUGUUUAUGGCAACAUGGAAUAUUCUCUGAGCCACGAACUGUUGCUGUGACCUCACUUCCUCCUUCCUCUUCCUUCCCUCGCUUGGACGUUAGCUCCAGGACAAAACAGAGAGAUGGGUCGCUGGCCGAAGGACGCAAGGACGCGAGGCUGUGCCCGACGUUCGCCCAGGAAUGUCGUGCGGUACGAAGCAAGCUGGUCUCGUCCUUGAAGAAAGGGACAGAAACGAGAUAAAUGGGGGAGAAAGGCGGCAAAGGGAGGGGGGGUCUCUCUGGUCUUUUUGGGUUUGUUCGGCCGAGAUAGAGCAACCAAGAGAGAGAGAGAGAGAGAGAGAGAGAGAGAGCUCGUGAGAGUGAGAAGGCGAGCUCGAGAGAGAGAGAAGGAGCGAGCCAGAGAAGAGAGGGAGCUCGAGGGUGGCUGCUUCUAGAAGGGUGUGGCUGAAAACCAAGGAGAGGCUAGAGCCGCUCGAGAGGGGAGACCGAGAAGGUGGAUAGCGAGGGAGAGCAGGAGAGAGAGGCGACUGUGUUCUCGAGUUCUUCGGGGGAGGCUGGAGACAGCGAGAGCAACAGAGAGAGUGAGAUAUGAGAGAGUGAGCAAAGGGUGAAGUGGAGAGAGAACCGAGAGUGAGCGGAGGGAUGGACUGAGAGAAAGCAGAGACCCAGGAGUCGAACUUCGUUCUCGGACAAGCGUUACCCGGCCAUCCCCAUCAUAAACUGGCGAUCUCCAGCCAACACCCUCGAGCAUGUGAUGAGUUUUCUUUGGGUUCGAUCCACUUUUAUCUCGAUGAUCCUGGCUCGGUGCAACGUCGAGGCGUCCGACCAUAGCUCGUUUCCUUUCAGGCUCACCUUCUGGCCGUCGUCGCCGAGCCGGGUAGGGAUAUUCGUGGUCAAACACUUCUCUCUGGGAACUCCGUUGCUUGGUUUUAUUUAAGACGGAACCGAAACGAUAGCUGGGUCUCGUUUUCCCUAGUCCACCAGCAUGCUCGAUUUGAACGAGCCG
This 52878-nucleotide long non-coding RNA is filed under the name Eucalyptus grandis. RNAcentral describes it as "long non-coding RNA (EGRA_LNC004698)". Lineage: Eukaryota; Viridiplantae; Streptophyta; Magnoliopsida; Myrtales; Myrtaceae. The record is from RNAcentral.